Molecule: long non-coding RNA, 55695 nt
Filed under: Setaria viridis
Lineage: Eukaryota; Viridiplantae; Streptophyta; Magnoliopsida; Poales; Poaceae
Description: long non-coding RNA (SVIR_LNC003821)
Source: RNAcentral
UUUUUUUUGGUAAAACAAAUAGACGAUCAUCUAAGUAUUUUCUGUUGACGCAACUUAGUAGCUCAGCUAGCCCAUGGCCAAUCUGAGGGAGCUUUUCAGUUUCCGUGAUUCUGAUCCAGGCUUGUGCGCACAUUAAAUUGUGUUUUUCUGCUAAUGGUUUAUAAUACAUACACGUUACUUCUCUUGUCAAAACUCAGAAAUGACUCCCUUCCAACCCUUUAUAUUGCAGAGAAUGACCCAAGGAGGACUCGGAUUGCUAAUGCAUACUUUUCACUCUUCAUGGCCCUGGGAAACAUACUUGGAUAUGCCACCGGAGCAUACAGUGGCUGGUAUAGGAUAUUUCCUUUCACUGUUACACCAUCCUGCAGCAUCAGUUGUGCCAACCUCAAGUCUGCCUUUCUUCUUGACAUUAUUAUUCUGGUGAUCACAACCUACAUCACUGUAUCAUCAGCGCAAGAGCCUCAAACUUUUGGAGGUGAUGAAGCAGAACAUCCAGGUACCGAACAGGAAGCUUUCCUCUGGGAGCUUUUUGGGUCAUUCAGAUACUUCACACUACCAGUUUGGAUGGUCUUAAUUGUCACUGCCCUUACAUGGAUUGGAUGGUUUCCUUUUAUCCUCUUUGAUACUGAUUGGAUGGGCCGAGAGAUCUACCGAGGAAGCCCAGACAACCCAGAACAGUCCCAAAGUUACCAUGAUGGUGUGAGAAUGGGUUCUUUUGGCCUAAUGAUGAACUCUGUCCUUCUUGGGUUCACCUCUGUUGUACUAGAAAAGCUAUGUAGGAAGUGGGGAGCUGGACUAGUAUGGGGUGUCUCCAAUAUACUAAUGGCUUUAUGCUUUGUGGCAAUGCUCGUAAUAACAUAUGUUGCAAAGAACAUGGAUUAUCCUCCCAGUGGAGUACCUCCAACUGGCAUUGUCAUUGCUUCCCUGGUGGUUUUUACAAUUUUAGGGGCACCCCUGGCGGUGAGUAACAAGAUUGUCUUUUUCGACAGAAUGAUAUUUUUUUGUCUACUUCCAGCUCACUUGUAUGUUGUCCAUGUGGUAUAUUCAAUUUAUUUCCUUGUUUGCAGAUCACAUACAGUAUACCAUAUGCAAUGGCUGCUAGUCGUGUUGAAAAUCUGGGUCUUGGCCAAGGUAUUUCCAUUUUGAGUACGUACUAUCAUCAUGAUUGCAUUUCUUAACUUUUUUCUAUUUAUCCCCUGCAGGUCUGGCAAUGGGUAUCCUAAAUUUAGCUAUUGUCAUACCACAGGUAAUUACCUUUAUUAAUGUUUUUUGUCGGCUUUGGUUCAGUACUAUGUGUAUAUGGAGUCCAGUGCAACUGUGAGCAGUCAUAGGGUAAUUGGCCUAAACUGAUCAGUAGAUAAUGGAUCCAAGUAAUCUUACCCAAUAACAUUUGCUCUAAGUGAUAAUUGGUUCCAGAACCCAAUUUUAAAAAUGGUUUAUAUUCUUAGCAUCUUAAAGGCAAUAAGAGACGGUUUGAGUUGCAGGUUGAAAUGAUGUUGGUUGUCUAUAUCUUUAUUUAUAGUAGUGUCAGAUUACAGAUAGAACAGAUUUGGUCUUCAGUUAAUUGUAACACAUGGCAACAUAGAAGAACACAAGACAAACAAGAAACCCACGAUGAUGAAAUCACUGUAUCCAUAAAAAACCUAGCUGUAUCCUGGGUUUUUCCUAAAAACCCUUUGUUCUUAAUAUAUUGAUACGCAGCUCUCCUGCGUGUUCAAGAAAAAAAAUGAAAUCAUUGUAUCGUUGAAUAAUGUAGAAGCAGUGGUGUUGCAUUGGCUCUAUCUCAACAGAAGUGAAUUCCCUAUAGGAGAAACUUUCACAAAUAGUCUAGGAUUUGGAUCAUAAUACAACAGUCUCCACGUAGAGCGAAAUUCCUUUCGAUAGUAGAAAUCAUGAGUCGUCAUUGACCAACCAUGUGCGGCUGAAGUAAGGAAUAAUCAACGUGUGAGAUCAUCUUUGUUUUUCAAAAGCUUCACGUGAAGCCACACUGAGGAGACAAUUGGCAAGUCUGAAACCUGGCAACACAAACCAGACGGACACACCAAAUUCUUUGAAUAAUCCACAGUGCCAGCAAAGCCUCAACAUGUGCAACUGACCUCUAAUUUGAAGUGAAAGCAAAUGCUUGAUAAAUGACGAUACACCUGAGUCAGUUGUGAACACCCAUACUACAACUACAGGUGAUUUACUUGGCCUAUUCAUGAAACUGAAGAAGUUCUAAAUUCUAAUCAGCGAAUGUUGAAAUCCAAUCUUUAGGUUUAUAUAAAAGUGAUCAGGUUUUCAUUCCCUGUCUUGCACCACGAUUUCCAUCAAGAAAUCGAACGCUGGAUUGCGACCAAUGACCAUGUUAGCUAAAAAUAAGCUAAAUUCACAAUUAGGAUCAGCCAUCUUAUUUGUACUGUGUAUGUUAAAAAAAACUGUGGUCCGCAUUGGUACAAAUCAAGCCUUGUAAAACUCGUGUGUGUAAGAGAAAUCAGGACCAUUUACACAGAUGUUUAGCAUGAGCAUAAAUUGGCAAACUAGGUUAUGGCAAAAAAAAAAAAAAAAGGGACACUGGCAUGUUAUUUCCCAGAGUUGAAGCUCGACUGGAGCCAGGAUACAUGGUGAUGCAGCUUUUGCGGAUAUUGCUGACACUGGCACCUCCUGCAGAUUAUUGUGUCGCUUGGUAGUGGACCAUGGGAUGAACUGUUCGGCGGUGGAAAUGCGCCUGCUUUUGCGGUGGCAGCCGGUGCAUCUUUCAUCGGUGGGCUGGUGGCUAUUCUGGGGCUUCCACGAGCACGCAUUGCAUCGUCGAGGAGGAGAGGCGGCGGGACGCACCGAUAAGUUGCCUAGCCACCAUUGUUACAUACAUGCUGUGGAGGUGUUGCAAGCAACUUGCAACGAUUCUUUGCGGUUGGUCGGGUUGGGCACACAUCCAAGUCCUGCACUGCACGCUCAUGGGGGUGUCCUUUCCUUUUUGGUGGUUUGCCCUGUUGAGCUAUUUUUUGCCUUGUCUCUCCAUCAUUUGUUGUGCUUUAUUUACGUACAUGGAAGGAAUGUAUGUAUAUGUGUAUGUAUGUCAGGAGGUUAAUUAUAAUUGAGUAAUAAAAGUUACAUGAGUUACGAUUUACUGGCAGGGCUGCUGUUGUAUGUGUACUCCAUACAGAGAGAACAAUAGCAGAGCAGGCAGCUAGUGUCGUCCCUAGUACUAAAACCUCACUGAUUUUGCGGUAUGAUGUCCAGUUCCAGUUGCAACGGCACGCCGGGCGUGGGUUGGAGAACCUGCACCUGCCCGGGAAGCGCCGCCGACAGCUUGGCCUCGAAGGACUGCGUCGUCCCCUGUUUGGAGAUGACGGCGGCCAGGAGUCCGCCGGCGUCCACGUCGCCGUUGCUCAUGGGGACCACGUACCUGGCUCGCAGCAGGCUGGCCAGGCGGACGGCGUCCUCCUGGCCGGAGACGAGGGUGAAGUUGGCCGGAAGCAGCUGCUUCACCACCGGCGUGAUCACCACGUCCGCCUGCAGCUGCCGCCUCUUGUCCGGGAGGAAGAAGGAGCUGUCGUCGUACACGCAGUGCGGCUCGUAGUAGAGUAGGCCGUGGCCACCGUCAUCUGCGCCGGCGAUGAGGACGUAGCCGUUCUCGGGGCGCUGCCACGGCGGGCCCAGCACGGGGCCUGCGGUGGCCACCACCCGGAGCUGGGCGUUGACGGCGGUGGACUGGCCGGGCUCGAGGUAGGUGACGCGGCGGAAGGGCGUGGGCAGGGAGGCGAGCACCGGCUGCGCGUUGGGGGUGGUCACCACCGGCAGCUCCGGCGCCCGGGCGGACAGCUGCGUCAGCGUGCGGACGUGGCAGUGGUCGUCCAGGCUCUGCGUGAUGAGCAGCAGCCCCGGCUCCAGCGCCAGGAGGUCGUCCACGCCCAGGGCCUUCACCUUGGGGUUCUUCUUCGCGCCGUCGAACAGCCAUGGCGCGCCGAAGUCGAGGUUGCCGACGACCAGGGGGUCCACCAGGAUGCGCAUCGGAGAACUCUGGCCCUGGCCCUGCUGCUGCACCUCCCACACCCAGCUGUUGAUCUCCAGAUACGUCAGCUCGAGCGUCACCACCUUAUUGCCCUUGCUGAUGGUCGACGACGACGAGGAGCUACUGCUGCUGGCUGCUACUAUUGAUGAUGAUCUUGUUGGAUCUGGACGCCGGCUCCAAGCCAGGCGACGAUGAUGAUGGCAAGGAGAAGAAGCAGCGACUGGCGCGGCGGUGGGGCUGGAGAGCACCUGGAGCCGGCCGGCCAUGGCCAUCAUCUGAAAUUCUGAAUCCGGCGAUGGAGAGAGAGAGAGAGAGAGAGAGAGAGAGAGAGAGAGAGAGAGAGAGAGAGAGAGAGUGGAGGAGAGGGGACUCUGCUCCAGCACGCAGCACCCACCAGAAAGAAAACUAGUGGUUGUGGCCUUGUCUGGGCUACGUGUUCCGUCCGUCCGUCCGCUUGCUUUUUCUUGGUCAUCUUGGUCAUCAUCAUCAUGGGCCUAGCUACAGGCCCGAAUCGUGGGCCUCGGUGUCUGCAUAUAAUGCUUAUCUGAUGCGUUUAGGUCAGUUUUGAAACUAAAGCUAAUUCUAACAGCAAGCCCACCACAAGCCACUCUAAACAAAAAUUAAAAUAAACAUACAAAAUGUAAGAAUGCUCAGUUAACACUAGUUGUUAGCACCAGAAGAACCAAGUGAGGGACAUGCCGCGUCCAGUAUUAAGGCAUGAGCAAUGCCCACGGCCUUUGGCGGCUUUCUUGCGGGCCUGGAACUGUCGCCUCCGGCCUCUUGUGGUCCUGCCUAUUGGCACUUGGGGCUUUGCUUGUUGCCUGCAUCUUGCUGCUUCCUGGUCCAGGCAGUUAACCCAUCGACGGCCUGCGGUUGGAUGCCCCUCCCUCCUGUUUGCUUGCUGCCUGCAUCUUGCUGCCUGGUCCAGGCAGUUAAGCAAACAGGCCCUUGCAGCGUCGGCGCACGGGACCCUCUUCGCCCGCCUCCAACCUAGUCUCCUGGUUCUCAAAUGACGAGAAAAUCACGGGUUUUUUAAUAAUGAAAUGAGACUCUAUAUUCAUUACUAACGACAAUGUACUACAUGAGAAUAUAUGUUCAUUACUGUGUAAUUUGGAGGUUAAAAAGGUUACUUGUUAAUAAUACUUUAGCAGCGAGGAUGCUGCCAAGGAUGGACGUGGUAGAGAUAUUAAACAUUAUCGCCUGCUGGAGCUGGUUGUUAAGGUCAGCUGUGCCGGGGUCAAAUUAAUCACAUCACAUCCAACCACAUGCCUUUUCUCUCCAACGGAGACAUCAAGCUCAUAACUCACAUGUUCAUUAGCAAUUAGCAUGCUCAUCUCAUCCCAUUAGCAUGUUCAUUAGCAAUUAACAAUGUCCACCAUAUUCAUCAACAAAAAAGCGAACUCAUCAGGAGGUGGUGCCUGAGCUCACGCAAUUGAAUACGACGACAUCUUAGCGCUAACUUAUAACAGACUACAAGAGGAAGAGGCUUCUCCUCCUCCUCUCCUGGCGAGGUUUCUGCUUCUCAGUCUUUCAGCCAAGCCAAGCAAAGCCCAGGCGUUGCUCCUCCUCCUCCUCCUCCCAUCCAUCCAAGGGAAGGGAUGGGUGAGCCUGAGCCCGACGACGCCGUGCUCUUCGUCGGGGUGUCGCUCGUGCUGGGCAUCGCCUCCCGCCACCUCCUCCGCGGCACCCGCGUCCCCUACACCGUCGCCCUUCUCGUCCUCGGCGUCGCGCUCGGCUCCCUCGGUAAGAGAUGCGAUUCCAUUCCCCCCCGCCCUUCUCUUCCCGUACCUGCAAUUCAGUCACUCAUCUGCUACAGUGAUAGUAAAUAGUAAAUACACUCUGAUCACCAUGAACAAUUCUCUCCUUUUACUUUCCUCGCCUUCCAGAGUACGGAACACACCAUGGUCUAGGCAAACUUGGAGCUGGAAUUCGUAUCUGUAAGUUCCUAAUUCAUCCUAAUAAAUACUUCAAUUCAUUCCACAUCUAGGCGAGGUAAGGUGAUCUACCUGCUUUUCCUUCUCUUACUUAAUUAUUAGAGUUAUCCUUCCAAUAAAAUUAUUAAAUUGCAGGGGCCAACAUAAACCCUGACCUUCUGCUGGCUGUUUUUCUACCUGCACUCCUCUUUGAAAGCUCCUUCUCCAUGGAAAUACACCAAAUAAAGGUACACACUCUCUGUUUAUCCAUGCACCAUGGAAAGCCAUUCUAGUUUGGAAUUACGGUUCAUAACUCCCUGAAAAAGCAGAUUGCUAUGAAAAAGCCACUAAUUAGUCUUAUAAAUUCUGUUGUGUGGGGUUCUCAAUCUGUUGGGAUACCUCCUGUAUCUUGUGUAGUGCUGUAUACUCAACCUGCAGCUGAUGCAUCAUAUUUGGUCCUCUGUUAUCACCGCUUCUAAUAAAUAAUAAUGCUGGCUAUGGAUCUCUUCUGCUGUGAUUUUCUUUAGUAGUCCACAUAUGUUUGUUGAGUGUAGACUACAAUGCUUAUUUUGCAGAGAUGUAUGGCACAAAUGGUGUUACUUGCUGGACCCGGCGUUCUAAUAUCAACAUUUUUACUUGGCGCUGCUGUAAAGGUAUGUGCUUAGAGAGAUGAUGAGACAUUAUUUAAUAUAUCCCAAUGCUUCCUAACUGGUGUCCCACAGCUCACUUUUCCUUACAACUGGAGCUGGAAAAUAUCAUUGUUACUUGGUGGACUGCUUAGUGCAACUGAUCCUGUUGCUGUGGUUGCACUGCUAAAAGAACUUGGAGCAAGUAAAAAGCUCAGUACAAUCAUUGAGGGUGAAUCCUUAAUGAAUGAUGGGUAAGCUACUUGAACAAAAUUGUGCAAUCAGUAGUAUUGGACUCUGGAAGAGGGUAUGGAGAUGAACCCUAUAAACUGGAGUUCCUGUUCUAGUCACUACUAGGUCGAAAAAAUAUCCAUGCUAAAACUAAAUUUGAAAGUAUUUGCAGAAUCGUGCUAAAAACCAAAGCUGCCAAAGCUUUUAUAGUCAAUUGUCAUAUUAGAAACUGUCACACUAUUUAUAUAAGUUAAAAUCCGAAAUUCAAGAUUUUGUUAACUAUGCACUGUCCUUAUUUGAGCAUACAGGACACCCUUGACUAGUUGCUAUGGAAUUCAUUCUCCUCAUUGUAUGUAUUAGUCAUAUUGGGGUAAUGUGGUAUAUUAAGGAUACCUCAAAAUAUUAAAAUUUCAAGUUCAGUUAUGAAAUCUAUAAGAGCUUCAAUCAUCCUAAAUAACCACAAAUUCUACAGGACUGCUAUUGUUGUCUAUCAGCUGUUCUAUCGAAUGGUGCUUGGAAGAACCUUUGAUGCUGGCGCAAUAAUAAAGUUCCUGUCAGAAGUUUCACUUGGAGCGUAUGUGGGAUUUCUUUAUUAAAUUCAAAGUGAAUUAUAUGUCUAUGUGCUUAUAAUUCUAAUUAGUAUCUUCUUUGACCAGUGUUGCUCUGGGCCUUGCAUUCGGAAUCGUAUCAGUACUGUGGUUGGGAUUUAUUUUUAAUGAUACAAUCAUAGAGAUUGCGCUUACUCUUGCUGUCAGCUAUAUAGCUUUCUUCACUGUAAGGCCAUGCCACUUCAGGAGUCCUUACUUCCCUCUAUUUUCUCAGAGGCUUUGCUGUUGUUAAUGUUCAUUUAUAUCAGGCACAAGAUUCACUGGAGGUCUCUGGUGUUUUGACUGUCAUGACACUGGGAAUGUUAGUAAAUUUGUGCUGACAAAUAGUUUUGCAUUUUUAAUACUACUACUCUUGUAUUAACCAUGUCACUUGGGCAGGUUCUAUGCAGCUUUUGCAAAAACUGCUUUUAAGGGCGAAAGUCAGCAAAGUUUACACCAUUUCUGGUAUGUUAGAGAAACAAGUCACUCUAUUAUCAACGGACAUAAAUAUUCUUGACAAAUUCUUGACCUAGUAGUUGUGUAUCUGUUCCGUGUAUUCCAUAAGUUUUUUAUGCUGUUCAUGUUUACUUUCUUUCAGCAUUACUUCAACAGGAUUACUAUUUAAAUCUAUGUGCUGUUGUAAAGGCACAGCUUUAUUGUCAGCGUCCAAGUGCCAGCUUUUUUUAGCACCUACUUUAACAAUGAUUUGUUAAAUCUCCUUAGCAUAGAACUUCAUCAUUUAUGUCCUAGAACAUUUAGCAGCAUUUGAAUAAAUCGUAUGCUUUGGAGCCCUCCACUUAAAACUUCUUAAUGCAGUGAAACAGUACUCCUGUGUGUCCAAGAAAAAAUAUAUUCAUGGUGGUCAUUGAACUUGCGACAUGGGUUGGGUCUCUGUACUCCUACGAUGCACAAUAACAUGAGAUAUCUUAAUUUUCCCAGCUGGUUCCCUCCACUUGCUAUAUUGGAGCAAGGGGCUUUGACCUGCAAAAUUAGCUGCCAAGGCUAUGUCAACUUUUCUGAAACCUAGCUAAUCACUAUAAAACCAAAAGUAAGCCAUAUUCUCAGCCCUCUUCCUCGAAUCCUGCUUUUCUACCCCGAGCAGGCCAAGCCAGUGCCAGAGAUGAAGCAAGUGGCGUGGAUGACUAAUGUUACCAGCUUUUUUCUUUUCCUUUUGUUGGGUGGGUUGGGGGUGAGGGGGUGACGGAGGGGGGGGGGGGUUGUUCGAGGGGAGAGGGUGGUCAAUGUUUGCUACUCCUUAAGCGUUCAUCUCAUAGGUCCUGUGUGCCAAAGCAAGGUUGAGUCAUGGUAGUGGAAUUGGAACUACUUAAUACUUAUUGCACUUCAGAAACUAAUUCGAGGGUCCUCCCUGCUAUUUAUUAGCAAUUUUAAUCUGGACCUGUAACCAACAAAAAGUAAACUAAUAAAACCAUAAAAAUACACAAGCAUUAUUAUCAAAUGUUCGCAUGGAAUUAUUCCGUCAGCACUCAUAGUGUCACUGAAUGCCUACCCUAGUUUUGUUGAUGAAUAAUUUGGCCAUUGUUAUUUUCUAGUACCUUGCAAUCUUCUCAGUUGACACUGAAUUAAGGUAGCCUAAUCUUGAUAUUAUUUGAUACACAUCAAAUAAUGGACUCUUUUACUUCUUUAAGUUAUGUACAUGAUCAUGUAUAUAUUCUAUAAGAUAGUCCUUUAUUUUUAUGAUAUUUUAGUAUAUAUAUCUGAUCUGAGUUUCAUGUUUGCUUGCUGUUUUUCUUGUAUUCAGGGAAAUGGUUGCUUACAUUGCAAACACACUUAUUUUUAUACUGAGGUAUUGGCAGCUCUUCUGUACAUGUGGGAAAAAUAUUAUUUGAUUUUUCUGUUUAUGUCCAGCUGAUCCAAACUUCUAGGUGUUUUGAUUGUAUGCUUCAUAACGACACAUCUGUAAAAUUUCUUACUUGUGAAUCCCCUUCAGUGGGGUUGUUAUUGCAGAUGGUGUUCUACAAAAUAAUGUCCAUUUUGAGACGCAUGGUAUGCAUCAUGUACCCCCUGAAAUGUCUUCUGCUGUUUGGUGGAUUUAUUUUUGAGGCUCAAAAUUGAUUAUUUAAAGUUCAAAAUUUAUUGAAGACCCAACGCAACUAUUUCAGUUUUUCAUGAAUACACAAGGAUGAGCUCUCAUUUGUGCUUAGCUCAGGCUUUGAUGCAACAUAUAGAUAUCCACCUGAAUUAAUUAACAUCAUCUCAGCUUUGCCCAUAACCAUUGACACCUUUGUUGCUUCAAAAUCUCUGGAAAAACCUUGGUGAACUAAAGAAAAAUUUACUUUUCUAGUUCUGAUAGUGAGUUAUUCCAUGUUCAUCAUAGUGGAAUGAAUAACAUGCUGUUAAUGUGCUAUUAAAGAUAAUAGGAUCCCUCUGCCCUGCUGCUGAAUUUUGGUGCCAUAGGAUUGCACUUCUUAUUCAACUGCAAUCAGCCGAUCCUUCAAACACUUGGCAUUUGAUUAGUAAAAAAACUUGAACGUUUCAUCUUGGGUUAGAUACCAUUGCUACAAAAUCAUGUUUUUCAUAUGAUUCAAGUGUUACAAUUUGAUAAUAUUUCUUAGUUCUGAUAUGAGCUUUCUGUACUAUGAGCUUAAUUCUAUUAAACCUCAUUAUGUGUACAUUCAUUUUAUCUCUUGGCUCUUGUAGGCACUUCGUGGGGCUUCCUUCUUCUGCUCUAUGUCUUUGUGCAAAUAUCCCGACUUAUAGUUGUUAGUGCUUUGUACCCAUUGUUGCGUCACUUUGGGUAUGGGUUGGACUUGAAAGAGGCCAUGAUUCUUGUUUGGUCAGGGCUGCGAGGAGCUGUUGCUCUGUCACUAUCGUUAUCUGUUAAGGUAAGUUAGUUUCAUUUGUGUACCAAUGAACCCUUUCAUUUGUGCUUCAUUUUCAAGUACAUUAGUCUACUACAGAGUUUUCUAACGCAUUUAUUGGAAUACUUUUAAUAGCGUACCAGUGAUGCAGUUCAACCUUAUAUUAAACCGGAAGUUGGAAUGAUGGUAUGCCCCUUUUUGUGUGUGAAAGUGCCAAAUAUCUAGUUUUGGACUUUGCUAAUGUUAUAUCUUAUGCAGUUUGUGUUCUUCACUGGUGGCAUCGUGUUUCUAACAUUGAUUUUUAAUGGUUCAACCACACAAUUUUUGUUACGUAUGCUUGGCAUGGACAAACUGUCAGCCACAAAGGUUAGCUUCACAAAUUGCCAUCUACCAAUUCCAGCUUGGUAUUUAGGUUUUGCUUGUUUUAGAAAUCUUUUGAGUUUCAUUUAUAUCCAUCUGUCCUCUAUCUUCGACUAAUUAUUACUUUAUUAGUGAAGUACCCAUCUGUCCUCUAUCUUCGACUAAUUAUUACUUUAUUAGUGAAGUGGUGAAGGCAAUGUUUUAUGUGCUGCCACUUAGCCUAAUGCCUUCAAUAUAUCAAGGUUAACGGUCACCAGUUGACUCACAAAAGCUAGACUUAACUCUAGAAUAUCCAAGCCUCCAAGGGGGAAAAACGUGGAGAGACCAAUUAAACUCUAGAUGCUAUCGAUGAGGCAACAAAGAGAAGAAUAGAUUAUCCCAUAUUCCUAGUUCUCUUCUACAAUAUUUUUCCAUAGGACACCACGUGCACAGAUUAAGAAAGUACUAGUUUCAAGAAAAAAAACAAUGUGAAAUGACCGUCCUUGCACCUACUAAAUGCCAUAGUACGAUAAUUUCUCUUGUACCAGAGCAUGUUAUUGGGGUUAGUGAGUGGAAAUAUUGCAAUAACUAAUCCUUUAUAUCCUCAAUGGACAAACAUUGUGGAACGUUUUCUGCCGAGGCCAUUGACAAAUAUUGUGGAAUGGAGGGAGUAGUGCUGUUAUGAAUAGAAUUUGUAUUCAAUAAUAGCUCCAUGAGGUAAUAGAUAGGAGUACAUGAAAAAGAGAUGUAAAGGACUCUACACUGUUAACACCCCCUCCCCCUCUGAAAUAGAAGACAUAUGCAAUAGGGUUUCAUUUGAAACAGUUGACAGUAAGGGCCUGUUUGGCAUGGCUCCAACUCCAAACUCCAGUCUAGAGCUGAGUGGGGCCAGCCAAACACCCCUACUCCACAAAAUUUGUGGAGCAGCCCAACUCCAUGGAGUUGGUUGAGCUGUAGUUCAUUCUUUUGGAGCACCCCUUUUGCAACUCCAGGUUAGACAUAAUGCAAAAAACUAAUACAUUCAACUCUGCAAAAAUUUCAUCAAAGCAUGGAGCCUUAGUGACCAAUGAAUCUAGGUGAAGAAGUGCAAAAGAAAGCAUAGAAGCUGAGUUAUGGCGAUGACAACAAAAGAAGAGAUUGCGCAAAAUAAAGACAAUAAGAGAUUAGCCAAAACGAAAGGCAAGCACAAGGAAAAAACAGCUGACUACCAAGAAAUACGUGGACUUGCAUGGCAAAGAUGAACACAAUGAGAUAUUUGACUUGGAUGGACACAACAGAAGAAAGGCUAUGAAGAGAGAGCUAAAGAUAGCCACAGUAGAAGCAUGGUAGGCUCGCAGCACGGCUAUCAGCCAAAGGACCGUCACAGGCUCACUGCUCCAUAUGAAGCAAUACGAUUUAGCUGCCCCCAAGAAGUGCUGUUGAUGAGGCACGACGUAGUGACGCGAAGAACAAUGAGGCCUCACCCGAGAAUUGAAGACAGUCCCCGAAGGUGAGCGACAGUGGAAGAUUGAAAAAAACCCUUAAAGCUAACCCAUCUCAGAUACCAUGUUAUGAAUAGAACUUACAUUGAAUUAUAGCCUGAUGGGGGCAACAUACAGGAAUACACAUCCCUCCCUCCCUCUCUCUGACAACGUUCCCCAAACCAAAUGUAAUCCCAAGUGAUUAACAAAGGUAGCUGAAAAUCAAGGGCAACUGAUUUCCCCUCUUUAGCUGGAAAUAUCAUAACAUGCUGAUCUGUUGCUAUGAAGAAAACGACCACCAAAACAUUGGGUUCCAUUUGGAUGCUAUAAUUCCUCUCUGAACAAGACUAAUAUUACACUUAUUUGUGAAAAGUGGAUUAAUAAUUUUGCAUGCUUUGUUCAGGAUUCCUUUGUCACUAUCAUUAAGGAAGCCUCUUCAUUCACCAACUUCUAGCUGUCCCAGAUUGUUACUGAUUUAUUGCUUCCAUAAGCACAACUAGUGCUCAUUUAUGAAUAUAUGUUCACUUCAAGCUCCAGAUAAAGACUAAUAUGUUUUUUUGCAGCUUCGCGUAUUGAAGUAUACAAGAUAUGAAAUGCUAAACAAAGCAUUAGAGGCUUUUGGUGAGCUUAGGGAAGAUGAGGAACUAGGACCUGCUGACUGGGCUACUGUAAAGAAACAUAUCACAUGUUUGAAUGACUUGGACGAUGAUCCAGAGCAUCCCCAUGAUGUUGGUGACAAAGAUGACCACAUGCAUACCAUGAAUUUAAGAGAUAUUCGAGAGAGGCUUUUGAAUGGUAUGUUAUCGCUUAUCAUUUUACUGAUGAAAAAUAUUGUGUAAAGGUAUUGAAGUGAUGUAUUAACAUAUCCAAUCAGCAUAGGUUCUCUUCCCUUUUGUGAUUAAGGCCUUUUAUAAAUAUUUUCUUAGGCUUAAUGUAAUUUAUUUUCAUAACCCUUUUAGUUAACUUAUUCUAUGACCACUGGUACUAUUCACAUGCGGCUCCUAGAGUGGAUAUCUGCGGCGAGUUAGUGAUACUUAGCUUCGCAAAAAAAGAAGAAUUAGUGAUACUUAGGCUUCAAGGUUGGACCCUAUUAGAGUAUGUAUACUCAUGUUUCUUGUACACCAAGCCUAUAUGGCUAUAUAUAUGAAAGGUCACCCCCCCUCCAAGGGCGUGCGGUGUUUCCUAUCUCUCUACAUGGUAUCAUGAGUCCGGGUACCCCCUGAUUCGUCCACCCUUCUGCUGCCCUAGCCGCCGUGCGCUUCGCACGCGUGCCACCCACCAGCAACACCGAUCCUCCUGGCACCGCCUUCUCCACCCCCUGCCGAUCCAAUCUGAUCAGCAGGCCUUCUCCUUCCUCCCCUGCAUGGCAACGUUCAGGCCCCUCCAAGUGAAUUUUUGAACACAAAUUUCACUCAGAUGACACUCUGGCUCGGCACAAGGCGCGUUGGGUAGACUGUGGAUUCUCUCAGCAUUAUGGGAUUGACUAUGACGAGACAUUCAGCCCGGUCGUGAAGCCCGCCACCAUACGGAUUGUUCUGAGCAUUGCUGUCUCUUGUCAGUGGCCGAUUCAUCAGCUUGAUGUGAAGAAAGCCUUUCUCCAUGGCCAUCUUCAUGAGACCGUCUAUUGCCAACAGCCUCCUGGAUUUGUUGAUCCUUCAGCGCUAGAUCAUGUGUGCCUACUGCAGAAGUCGCUCUAUGUGCUUAAGCAAGCUCCUCGCUUCUGGUAGCAGCGGUUUGCCACUUAUAUUCACCAGGUGGGAUUUGUACCAUCGCCCUCCGACACAUCGCUGUUUGUCUUCAUGGAUGGUGCCAGUAUUGCAUACCUGCUGCUCUAUGUCGACAACAUUGUUCUCACUGCCUCAUCUGUAGACGUGCUUCAUCAGAUCAUCACUCGACUCCACUCGGAGUUUGCCAUGACCGAUCCUGGGGUCCUCCACCACUUUUUUGGCAUCUCAGUCACUCGCACCUCCGAUGGCUUGUUCCAGCGACAAUAUGCAGUUGAUCUUCUCCAGCGCGCCGGUAUGGCUGACUGUCAUCCCACGUCGAUGCCAGUGGACAGCAAGUCCAAACUCUCUGCUGCUGAUGGUGCCCCCAUUACUAAUUCAUCGGAGUACAGGAGUCUUGCCGGAGCCCUUCAGUAUCUUACUUUGACUCGCGCUGAUUUGGCCUAUGCUGUUCAACAAGUCUGCCUCUUCAUGCAUGAUCCGCGUGAGCCUCAUCUUGCAUUGGUCAAGCGUACCCUUUGCUAUGUGAAGGGCACAUUGGACGCUGCUGGUCCCGUUGAUUCUCUCAUGGCCUAUUCAGAUGUGGAUUGGGCAGGCUGCCUCGACUCGCGGUGCUCCACUUCUGGCUACUAUGUCUACCUCGGCGAUACUUUGGUGUCUUGGUCCUCCAAAUGCCAAACCACCGUCUCCUGUUCCAAUGCAGAGGCGGAGUACCGGGCUGUGGCUCAUGCAGUUGCUGAGUGCUGUUGGAUGCGCCAGCUCCUUCAGGAUCUUCAUGUUCCUAUUGCUUCUGCGAUGGUUGUCUACUGUGACAAUGUGACCGCUGUCUAUAUGACCGCCAAUCCCGUCCAUCAUCGUCGCACAAAGCAUAUAGAGAUUGAUAUCCACUUCAUCCGUGAGAAGGUCGCGCUCGGGUAGGUCCGUGUUCUCCACAUCCCCUCAGCGCAUCAGUAUGCGGACAUCAUGACAAAAGGUCUCCCUACAGUUGUUUACUGACUUUAGGACCAGUCUUGGCGUUCGCCUAACUCCCCUUGCGAUUGCGGGCGGGUAUUAGAGUAUGUAUAGUUGUAUAUGUGUUGUACUCAUGUUUCUUGUACACUAAGCCUAUAUGGCUAUAUAUAUGAAAGAUCAUCCCCCUCCAAGGGCGUGCGGUGUUUCCCUAUGUCUCCACAGACCCCCUUUCUCGUGUAAAAGUGAUAAUCAUUUGAACAUUUGAUGUUUUCUAUGGGGAGAUCAAAACAUGGAAGGUAUAAUUGUUUUGCUAGAUCUUCCAGUCAUUUGGAGUUAAAAGUUGUUAUUUUUAUUUUUUCUAUAAUUAGAAUGCAAGAAGAAAUAUACAAAUUUUGGUGACCUUAGAGCAUUUACGAUUGGUACGAGGAAAUAUCCUCCGACUGGCCUGCCAAAGGAGAGUGUUGUAGCAUUGAUGCUCAGACCUGUACCCAUGCACAUACAGCUUAAUUGCUCUAAGGUUUCCUUAUCCAUACCUUCUUAUUGAAAUGAUAAAGUGAAAAAUACUGUUAUAUUCACCAUUUCUUGUUGACAUUAGCCUAUUGGAGCAGCUUACUAGUUACAAAAACAACAAAUCCUUUUUGUCCCAUUUUUCAUAGCUGAGUUUUAGGCCCUUCCACCUUUGUAGCUUGAUGAUACAUCAUCUGUCUUCUAAAUGAAUUGCUACGUUGCUAGUGAUAGUAUUGUUGGCAUGAGCUUGGCAUGGCGCAGCAGCAUCAACCAGAAGCAGCACUUAUCUUUAGUUUGUUUAGAUUGGUUUGUUAGAGAGAUAAGAUUUGUUAGGAAGAUAAGGUUAGUAAGUUCAGGUUGUUUAGUUUUCUAAAUCAGUCGGUUAACCAAAUCCAUAACAUUUGGGCCUCCGUUAUUUUGAUAUAUUUUCUUUUGCUGAGAAAUCUUUUAUCUGUUUGAUAUGUCUGGAGAUGUGACUGAUGUCCAUUUGCCCUUCAAUUUUUACACCCUUCUCAUUGCAUUAUGUAUUUAUCCAUAAACUGUUUGCUUACUGUUCCCUCAAUGGUUCUAUCUCCUAUAGUUAUGCAACUUAGUAAGUGUUGUUAUGAAUGUUUAUAGAGGAGACAAUUUAUUCGCACAUAUUUUUGAACAGGUGUGCAAGCCGCUUACUGGGGAAUGCUUGAAGAGGGACGAAUAACUCAAGCUACGGCAAAUAUUCUGAUGAGAUCGGUUGAUGAAGCUAUGGAUCUUGUUUCCAGACAACCAUUAUGUGAUUGGAAAGGUUUAAAGUCCAAUGUCCAGUUCCCGAAUUACUAUAGGUUCCUUCAGAUGAGCAGGUUGCCACGAAAGCUUGUCACAUACUUCACAGUUGAAAGAUUGGAGUCAGGAUGUUACAUCUGUGCUGCAUUUCUUCGUGCUCACAGAAUUGCAAGGCGGCAGUUACAUGAUUUUCUUGGUAAUGUAUUGGGAACUCUUGAUAUGUUCUUUCCUUCAAAUUACCUGUUAUUUCUUUGUGGUGCAAAAAGAGGGGGAAAAAAUCUAAGUGCUAAUUGCAUAUGAGAUUUACAUGUGCGGUGGACAUAUUGUUCUGUAGGUGUACAUUGUUUUUGACCUGUAGAUCAUAAAUGGCAAGAGAAAGCAGACUUUAAGAAGGGUUUACCUUUACCAUAAAAUCUGUUAAAUCAUUUAAUUGUCAAACUGACUGUGACUUAUACCGGAGAGCUUUAUUGAUCUAGUGGAUAGGAACAAUGGCGAGGUUGGCCCAGUUCUACCUCCAUUGGGGCUCUGAACCUUGGAGACUAAUCCUUGCUUAGCAAACUCAAUUGUCUCUCUGGCUUAUAUAAGGCCGAUCCUAACAAACUCACUAAAAACCAAAGGAUAACAAUGGCCUAAGACUCUGCCGCUGACAAACUGAAUUCGACUGCUAGUUUUGUGGAGCUGCAGCCGACUUCUUGUUGUGUCGCUUGUGCUGGUAGGUGCGCCCAACAAAGGUGUCCACAACACAAACUAUCAGGUCAUUUGGGGUGACAGAGCCCUCUUCACUGCAAAACCACUUUAUAGGCCGGAAUUGUUGAUGGGUCAAACUAUGUUAGCUCAAUGAGGACGAACCUGGAGGAAGUUCAAUUUAUGUUUCAGUUACUUCGAAGAUUGAAAAUGUCAUUCCUUUAUGGUUUUGGAUGCAUCCACCUUUUAUUCUGUUUUGUAGAUAACCUGACUUCAAUCUGCUGAUAUGAUGCUAAUGCCCUUCAACUUCCCUAUUUAUUAUUUGUUGUCUUAUUCUCUCGUCAGGUGAUAGUGAGGUUGCAAGAAUUGUUAUUGAUGAAAGUAAUGCUGAGGGAGAGGAAGCUAAAAAAUUCUUGGAAGAUGUUCGAGUUACAUUUCCACAGGUUUGUGGUUACAAUGUGCUUCUGUCAUUUCAUUCAACUGCUGUGGUACCUUCAGUUCCUACAUGAAAUCUUCAUAAAAUAUUCACAUAUCAGUUUUAUUUUUCAUAAAACAUGGGGAAUAAAGUGCAAAACCAAUAUAGUAACGAAGAGAAAGAUCAUUGCAUAAACAAACUGAUAAAUUGCACUAUCAGAUUUUGAAACUUUGCCCCCAAUUUUCAGGUGCUGCGUGUGCUAAAGACACGGCAAGUCACAUAUUCCGUAUUGACACACUUGAGUGAGUAUAUUCAAAACCUCCAGAAGAUUGGGUUGCUGGAAGAGAAGGAAAUGGUCCAUUUAGAUGAUGCUUUGCAGGUAGAUGGAAUAUGCAACUUAUCAUUUGUUAUUCUCCCUCUGGAAACAGUUUGCAAAUUGCAAUAAAUAUUCUAAACUCCAGUAAGCUAAUUGACUUGGCAGACGGACUUGAAGAAGUUGAAGAGGAAUCCACCGCUAGUGAAAAUGCCAAGAGUUAGUGAGCUUCUAAACACUCAUCCUUUGGUAGGCGCACUGCCGGCUGCUGCACGUGAUCCUUUGCUAAGCAAUACAAAGGAAACUGUACGAGGACAUGGCACAGUCCUAUACCGGGAAGGCUCAAGGCCAACUGGUAUAUGGCUUGUUUCUAUUGGUGUAGUAAAGGUCUGUUUGUGCCUCAACAACACUGAUGCAUCUUGGUUGGCGUCUGUUCCGAUUUUGUUCUAAUGUGCUUAUGACUUCCCCCCCCCAACAGUGGACAAGUCAAAGAUUAAGCAGAAGGCAUUCCUUGGAUCCAAUUUUAUCACAUGGAAGCACUUUGGGUCUGUAUGAGGUGCUGAUCGGAAAGCCCCAUAUAUGUGACAUGAUCACAGAUUCCGUGGUACAUUGUUUCUUCAUCGAAGCUGAAAAGAUAGAGGAGCUGCGUCAGUCAGAUCAUUCAAUUGAACUUUUCCUGUGGCAGGUAAUACAGUACUGAUUUACAUAGUGAAGUUUGCGUCAGAAUCUGUAUCUAAUGGCGCUCAAUCGAAUGGAAAUCGCAGGAAAGCGCUCUGGUCAUUGCCAGGCUCUUGCUUCCUCAGAUAUUUGAGAAAAUGGCAAUGCAUGAGAUCAGGGUUCUUGUUGCUGAAAGGUCGACGAUGAACAUAUACAUCAAGGGGGAAGACAUCGAACUUGAGCAGAAUUACGUUGGCAUUUUGCUGGAAGGAUUCUUGAAGACCAGGAGCCAGCUGAUCACGCCUCCUGGGGUGCUUCUGCCAUCAAAUGCUGACUUGAGCUUAUUUGGACUCGAGUCCUCAGGUUUCCAAGCAAUCCUCUCACCUCCUCAUAUACGUUCAAAAGAAAAAAAAAGGGAGAAAAAGAAAGGAUUCUGAGUUUUUUUUUCAUGCUUGCAGCCGUGAAUCAUAUAGACUACUGUCAUAAUGCACCCAGCUACCAAGUGGAGGCUAGAGCGCGGAUCAUCUUCUUCGAUAUGGUCAGGACCUCCGAGGCAGAGGCCGAUCUUCAGCGAAGCGUGUCGCUGCUGUCUCACGGCCAUGAGCCACCACGAAGCGUGUCGCUGCUGUCUCACGGCCAUGAGCCACCACCACGGACAAUGAGCAAGGAGCACAGCGGCUUGCUGUGUUGGCCAGAGAGCUUCAGGAGGUCCCGGGGAGGCCACAGUGCCAGCCUAGCUGAGAUCAGAAACCAGCCGGGUAGCUUCUCUGCCAGGGCGCUGCAGCUGAGCAUGUACGGCAGCAUGGUGAACCUCACCUCUGGCCAGCAGGGUCACCGGCGGCAGAAGCCCCAUCGCAUGCCGGCGGCGAACCAUAGGCACAGCUCUUCCUACCCCCGGGUGCCGUCGAGGCCAUCCAACACGCGGCCUCUGCUCUCCGUGCAGUCGGAGGGUUCCAACAUGAAGCGAGUGGCGGCGCCGAAAGACGCCACUGCUGGCGAGGCCACAACUGCUGCUCCAGCGACCUCCGCAGGCCAGCAGCAACGGACGGCGGUGCAAGACGACAACUCGAGCGACGACUCCGGCGGGGAAGAGGUCAUCGUCAGAGUCGACUCUCCCAGCAUGCUCUCUUUCCGUCAGUCCGCCGCCGCGGUUCAUUCGCCGCCACCGCCGCCGCAGGACCAGUAACAUUGUUUUGUCCUGUAACAUGAGCGCAUCGUUGCUGCGUGUAUUGUAUAGCAAAAGUAAAAGGGACACAUUCUUCUCCCUUCACUUUGUAUUGAUACUCUGCUAAGUAGGGACAUCUCCAUGCUGUAUAUGCAGGGCCUUUUGGAAUCCUGGUUACAUGGAUUCUGAUACAUUUUUUCCCAUUGAAAUUCCUGGAAAAAUUCCUACGAUACCAAUAAUGACAUGAUGUAAAAAGCGCACUGCAAGAGGCACAUGACAGACUCAUUUUUAUUGGACCUGAGUAGCCCGGCUGAUAAGAAGCCUUUCCCCCCGAUUAACUUACGAGACCCCGACCUACAAUCAGGUUCAGAUACAUACAUCAGGAUUCAUCAUCUUCCAAGGACUAAGACACUGCCCUGUGGCUGAUGCUGGUAACAGAGGGACAAAAACUCAAAAUAUACAUCAAGAACAGCUAGGUCAGCAGCCGACGAUGUUAAGCCACGGUUCGCCCAUAGCAUAUCCCAGCAAGGUAGAGGUUCUUAGCCCACUUCUCCUGUGAUGCGACAGCCAAAGGAGCAAGUAAGAAAAAAACACACUAGUAAGGCUAAACCAAUCUGCAUACAACAACAGCUCGUGUGUCCUACCUUGACAUGUUGACUGGGAAACUGUGUAGUCCGCAGAGUCUCUUGUGUCUCAUCUCUUGGGCGACGCCUUGGCUUGCUUAGGAUCAGCGCAGAUUGGUCCAUUGUGGCAGCCAUAGCGGUAAUACGAUAGCCAUUGUCCCAGCGUCUAUGGAUGCCCUCGCUUGGGUAGAGGAAGUCCAAUUCCACAACCUGCAAGAGUUGCAAUGUUUUAAGUACAAUGAGAUCAAGGCACAAGGCACUUUGAGGCUAUUCCAUGAAUCAAAUACCAGACCUAACUAGAGUGAAAGUGCACCUAAGCAACGUUUAGAAAAUCACAUUACUAUCGGAACACUUUUACUGUCCUAUGCAAAUAGUGCAGCAUGAACGAAAAUAUUAAAACCUCUAGGACAAGAUGUUGUCUACUGUAUAUGGAGUUUAGCAUCUGUGCAAACAUCUCACCUGCUCAGAAAAUCCAGCACUGCGGGACAUGACUAUAGCCCAUCGACUGCCUGAUGUUGCCAUUGAAGUCACGUGAAAACCUUCCUUCCACUUCUUGUUUAUCCAUUUAAACGGGAAGGAAUCACUGACUUUGUAAGACUGCUGUGUAUAUGGUGUGCCUGGUCAUCAUUAAAUAGACAAAGUGACAAACAUACUAUGUUAGGGGACCAGCUAAAUAACUACUCCUUCCGUUCCAAAUUGUAGGUCAUUUUAGCUUUUUUAGGUUCAUAGAUAUUAUUAUGCAUCUAGAUAUAGUGUACGUCUAGGUGCAUAAUAAUAUCUAUGAACCUAGAAAAGUCAAAAUGAUAUACAAUUUGGAACGGAGGGAGUAUAUCUAUGAAAUACGGCAGUUGUAACCAAGGGAGGGAGUAUAUCUAUGAACGGAGGGAAAAGGAUAAGCACCAAGGGAUUGACAGGUAAUUCAGAUGAUAAGUAUAUCAAGGGUGUUUGAGCAGAUACUGAUCCUGCUGUCAAGCAACUGGCGAGGCCUUAAGUUCAAAGUGUUUUUUUCCCUCUUUGUUGCUCAGGUUUACUUUUGGUACAUUAUAAACUAUAGGGAAAAACAUGGAGUAGUCACAGAUAUACUGCAGCUGUCUAGUACAGGCAGAAAAGAAAGGGAUAAGCAUGUAAUGAACAUAUAUGCAGCAACAGCAACAACAAGUCCUAUUUGCCCCAAGCAAAUUGAGGGUAAGGUAAGUCACAAGAAAAAUAUCGAUACCUUUGGACAUCACUACAAGAGAACUUCCAUUGUUGGAGCCAGCAACAGAACUGAUGUAGAAACUUUUAUCCCACUGUUCCAUAAUCCAUUCCUGUUCUUGUGCAAAAAUUGAGAACGGCGAAAAAGAGUGAAUUACAUGAGGUGCAAAUGGGAAGGUCCUACCUUAUGAAGAAAGUGUGGAGACAGCUCAUAGACUUGAGCUGUGAAGCCAGUUCCUGCAUCCAUAAUGAUUGCCCAAAGAUUUGCACAUGAUGAUAUUGAACUUAUCAACAAACCAUCCUCAUUUCCUUUCUCCACAUGUUGUGCUAACCUUGUGUCAGCCACAUUAUAGUGGUACCUAUCAAUGGCAAAACUUAAUCAGCCUUUUAUACUGACAAAACACACAUAAAGGUGGUUGUGCAUCCAUGAAUCUAAAAGACGAUAGAAGAUAUAAACUACAUUCAGUCUUGCCAUGAGUGUUUCAACUUGGUUCCUUUCACUGAAUCAGAUUCUUUUUUUAAAAAAAAUUAUAAUCCAAAUAGUAAAAAUAGAGCUUGCUUUAAAAAGAAAAUCAGAACAAUACAGAGUGCACCAUGCUAAUAUAACUCUGCAUGGAUACUUGAAACAGAAUAUACAUACAGAAGCAAGUUAGCUUGAUAAUAAAACACUGACCUCUGUUUCAUAGGUGACCUUGAAUUGUAUACUGAAAUCCACUGUGUUGCCGGAGCACCCAACCGAAUCUUCUUUUUCACAUGGCCAUCAUCAUCAUUAAGCAACCUGGCACGCUUCUGCCCUACCUGCAGGGUGAACGUGUCCCAAAAAAAAGAAUAUAUAAACUGGUAUCUAUAUUUUUCAGGUUCAUUUCACUUAAACUCAAAUAAGUAUGUGAUGCCUGAAACGAACCUUUUGGGCUCCAUCAGUAUUGAUAGGCCUGAUAGAAGGGUUUGGUCCAAUUAAGCUAUCAAACAAAGAAAUCAAUUUGGAAUAGUUUGGCUCCUCAUCAAACUUCAUGUUGACAACAGUUUCGAGAAACUGUUUGAAAGGUUGAGGACAUAUGCCGCAAAGGCUCUCAGGUGAGGUACUCAUCUUCCUCUUGCACACCAAAAAUGAUUUAUUAUCACCCUGUAAAUACAAACCCACAAAAAAAGGAAGUUAAAUGGUCGAAACAAGACCACUCAAGAAAAAUGGCUCUGAAUGGAGACUGGAGAGAGAAAGAUAACAGAUUAGACAGUAAGAUACCUGGUAUCCUUGCCAUGGCAACCUGCCCCUAUGAAGAAAUACUAGUGUAUAGGCAAGUGAUUCCAAGUCAUCCCUCCUGCUAGCAGUUCUUCCUAAAUGUGCAUGGACACUAGCAUAUCUUACUGUUCCUCUAGAUUAUAAAGGCAAAAGAGAAGUUUAGACAGAGAACUAAUAUCAUAUUGAGCUGACAACUAUGAAACAUAGACGACAAAGCGACAAACCUAAAGGCAUCGGGACGUUGAUCAUAACCAACAUGCUGUCCACUAGCAGCAUCUCUCCACUUUGUUGCUGGCAAGUGAAAAUUAACACAUAAGCAGUUAAGAUGAUCAACACUGCCACCAGUAGUCUAAGAAAGGGAGGCGAUUUCACCAGAAUAAUGCAAGUGAAUAACAUAUUGGUCGGUACCGGCUUGUUUACCUAAUCCAAGAUCCACAAGAUAAAGUUUCUUUUCUUGAGGCGUUGAAGGCUGACCCAGAAGAAAGUUCUCAGGUUUGACAUCUCCAUGCACAUAUCUGAAAAGAAAAAAAAUAGAAGCAUAAAAAAAUGCCUGAUGAAUUAAACAUAGCUGUUAGGCAACCUUGAGAUGUCUGCCUACCCUUUAGAAUGCAUGCUUUCCAAGAUGGAAAUGGACUCCACGGCAAUGCAGGCCACCAUUUCCGAUGACAUGCUGGAAGUUUUCAUCACAAGUUAUUACAAACAGGAAGGGGAGAAAAGAAAGAAAAUUUCAAGGAAAGAGAAGUACUGGGAGAGGUGGUAGAGUUGAGGAACUCACGAUUGGCCUAAUGAAUUCCAAGAAUCCCACAAGCUAGGCCCCAGCAUAUCCAUAAUCUGAAAAAAGGAACCAAAUAAAUUAGAAGCGGCAUCCAUCCAUCGCAGAUUAGCAGCUGCUUGCAGGAGGCGGCAGGCAGAAAGGAGAAGAAUGGUACCAUGACAUAGUAGUCACCCUGGCGGCCUUUAUAAUGCACCUUGGGCACGCCGUGCGUGCCUCCUAGAGCACUGAUGCAUCAAUGAAAGGCAAGCACAUACAAAGGUCAUUAUCAGUAACGUAGUAGAACGGCAGCAUUGCCUGCGGUUGGUGGUGGAAGAGGAAGGCAACUUACGUGUAGACUUGCCAUUCGCAUGGAGGGCCGUAGCUACAGCCCUUGCUGCUAGUGUGCUCAAAUUUGAUGGCAACCUCUUGGGCAGCGGAAGCCGAGGAGCGUGCAGCGUGGGCAGCAGUUAGGCGUCGGCCAAGAAAGACAUGGCCGAAGCCACCUUUGCCCAGCUUCCUCUCGACCUUGUACUCGGGGGAUCCUCCGACCUGGACCUGGUAAGGGGAUCCUCAAUCAGAACCAUCAGGCAUGGAUCUAUCUAGAAACAAAGGAAAGAGGAGUAUAUAGAUAGAUACGGACGGUGUCGGGGAAAGGCGCGGUGUUGGCGUCGUCGUCGUCGUGGGCGGCGGCGGCGUUGUUGGCGCUAAGUCCGCCGCUGUCGGCCAUCCUGUUCCUCUGGUGGGGGUGGGUGGGGUUUGGUUUGGUCUUGUGAUCUUCCCACAAGGAACGGGGUUGGGGUUUGGGUCAGGACGGCGGGGUGCGGGGGCAUGGCGGCGGCGCCAUGGAAUCGCGGCGGAGCAUCAUCUAUCUAUUUUGAAGAUGGUGGAGCGAUCAAUCGGUCGAUCGAUCUACGACAUAAUAGGUAAGAUUGAGUUGUACUAGGUUUGAGCAGCAGCAAACUCGCAAUCGAUGGAUUGGGGAUUCCAGCUUGAACUUUACUUUACUUUACCUGGUGGAACGCCGCGGCCUCUGCGCGGCUCCGCCCGGGCUUCCGAGGAGCAGGAGAGGCGAGGGGGAAGGGGAUUGAUCGAUCUGAUUCGGAUUGCGCUGCGGGGAUGCGGAUUGCGGCUGCCCGACACAGACAGCAGCACAGCGCGCAGCGAGACGUUCCUGCUGGCUGCUGCGGUGGGAAAAGAAAAGGAGAGAGAAUUGCCAAAAGCCCCCUUCUGAGCUCAAAAUGAUCCGACGGUGCUCUUGAUCAUUCGCCACGGAAUCAAGAUCACAACAAGAAACCAACUUGCCCAACAUUGAUUGAUAGAACGAAACAAGGGAAAACGUCAGGCAAAUUAUAAGCAACUCUUCAGUGCAUACGUUUUACAUUACAACGGAUGGAUGGAUAUCAAAGAAAGCAACUCCUCACCAAACCUAUACAACACCAACAAAGAUCAUUGCAUUGCCAAUGCCAAAAAAGUAAAAAAAAAAAAGGAACAGCAAUAAUCACCAGCAAAUGCCAUGUCAUCAUCAUUAAAAUGAAAAGAAGAAGAAGAAGGGGAAAAAAAAACACUAGCCGGAGCACACCCUUCCUUCCACUAGCUUUGCCUUUGUUAGACACAAACACAACCCACGAUAUGUAGGCAGGAUGGCUUCUUCCACAAUGCCAUCUUCUCCCGGAUCAGGAGAGGCUCCUUCCUUGUCACCACUCCUAAUCAACCAAGGUGUCACAUGUUGCGUGCUGAGCCGCUCCGAGGUAAACUCCUGAGUUAAAAUGCACGCAAUAUUGGUCAACCGAAAAACAAUACUAGCCCCUCAUUCUUCACCAGCUCUAGAUAACAAAGUACCUGCCAGGUGGGAGCUGCGAACUGUUGGCAGAGCCACUUGAACUACCAAACCGUUUCGCUCGGUUAUCCUGCUCUUUCUCCAAACGCGUAGCUGCCAACUCCUUCUCCAUAGCAGCUAACUCACGCCUCGAUUUCUUCGCCUCUGACUCCAUGGCUUUUGUCAAAGUAUCUACUUUCUUUGCCAACAUCUGUACAGCGCAUCACUUUAUUACAAGGAGGCAACAAAAACAAAGGAACAACUAGACAGAUAUAAGCAUUUUCUCGAAACUUAACUUACCUCAACUGCAUCAUCCUUGUCUUUCAGGCUUUGAUCCUUUUCAUGGCACGCCUUCCUUAGGGCAAUGACCUCCUUUUGCACAAAAUCAUAUAGAGCACCUGACACCAAGUCCUCCGACUCAGCAGAUGCAAACUCAUUACACUUCUCAUCUGAGUUGCUGGACUCCUUAUCUUCACUGGAAUCGGUAGAUACGUUCAUACCGUUCCCGUUUACAAGGCCCUUAUAGCGUUCAAGUGAUCUACAGCCUCCAUCGAAAGAUUUGGAUGCCCCUUUCGCAUGGUUAACUAGAGUUGUUGUGGUAGACACUGAUGAUCUCAUCUGGAAUGAUGGGCGUUUUGACAGAAAGCCAUUGGCCUUGGAUAAACCAUCAGCACCACCAAUAGACUGGCGGCGCGUGGUACUGACAUUGGUCCGGGAUGUAGACAUCCUCAAUCCUUCCUCAAGUACCUUAAGUCGUAACUGGAACUUCUCCUGGAAAAUUUGAUACAGAUCACAAUGAAGAGACAGACCUGACGGAUAGAAAUUAAGAUGGGAGAACAGGUAGUCAUGAGCAACAUGAAGGGCAAAAACCAUACUUUCAGUUGAGCUUCUGAUCUUGCAGCCCUUUCUGCAAUAGCAAGUUUGUCCCGGAGUUGCUGCAUUUCUCCCUGCAAAAAAGACAAUGCUCAACGAAUCAACAAAAGUCACAAUUGAUGAACUUCAACAAAUCUAUCAAGAGGAACAGACUAACAGCUUGGAACUAGAAGAAAGGAGACCUUCACUUACUUGCAGAAUCCUUCGUUGGUCAAGCCACUGUUUAACGGGCAUUACUUUAUCAUUGCCGUCUUUCCACUCAUUUGCCACCACUACUGCAACCCUAUUUGCUGAAACCUUUGCACGUGCUAGCUCACGAUCAAGAGUUUUCAUUUCCUCCUGAGAAUAGGAAACAUUGUAAAACUUGCAUUAGUCAUGGCACCUUCAGGUAUACAUAUCCUAAAAUGCAUAAUGCAUAUCAGAGGCAUUACAUUCAUCUCCUGAACUUUCCGCUGAUAGUCUCUCACAGCAUUUGCAGCUGCGCCACCAGCAAGAACAGCUUCUUCUAGCUCUCUGACAGUCUGAGUGAGCUUUUCAACCUCAGCAACUUUCUGGCGGUGCAUUCUAUCCAAGAUUUUGUUCUCUUCCUGUUAGGUGCCAAAGGCAAAGCGUCGCAUACUGUUAGCUUGAUGGGCAAGGCAAACUAGUUAAUGUUACUGUAAAUGGAUAUUUCCAUCAGUGCAUACCUGGCAUAUCUCAAUCUGCUUCAUCAGUUCUUGGUUUUUGUUUUGCAGAUCAUCCACCAAGGAAGCUUUUGCCAAUGCUAUCUGAACCGUCCUUUCUGCUUCAAGUAGAGCUGCUUCCUUAGACUUUGUAAGACGAUCUAGUGCCCUGUUAUCAUCUUGUAGUUUUGCAAUCUGCAAAAGAAGAUUAUUAACAUGUUAGCAUUUUCACUUCAAGAAGAACUUGAUAAACAGCAACGGCAAUGAAAGGAAAAAAAAAAGACUGGAGAUUUACCUCUUGACGGGCUAGUUUCAGCUCAGCUUCCAGUGGUGCAAGAAUGGCCUCAAUAGGAGGCAUGUCAUCAUCCUUCUGCGCGGCAUGAACCCUUCGUAGUGUAGCCUCUGCUGCAAACUGCGCGGCAAGUGCUGCUUUCUUUUCGUCAUUGAUCUUCUUUGCUUCGAGGUUCUGCAAGAUAUGUUGCAUACAUACUAUGAAUAUCGGUUGUCCGCACAAGGCAGCAGCGAAAUGCACACGAGGGGGAAAAGGAUUACCUUGGUUUCAAGGAGAGACUCUGUGAGCUUGAGCUUCUCGUCCACCUUUGCCAAUUCUUCCGUAAGCUUACAUUGACGCAGGAGGCAAAGUCAGAGUUGUUGCAAAACAAGUAGUAGGCUAGUAGCAGUAAGAAGCCCUGCGGGGUGGGGGUUACUGACAUCCUGUACGGCCUUCUCUCGCGCACGGUCCGACAGGCGGAGAGCCUUGAUCUCCGCCUGCGCGUCGCCCAGCUCCUUCUCCUUGUCUGCACAGCACAGCACAGGGCGGAGGUGAGAUCCAAUCCAAGGAAUUCUGGUCAGGACUACUGGACUAGGUAGGUAGGUAGAUGCAUGAGAUCCAAUCCAAGAGGAAGAAGAGGUGGAGGAGAUGGCAUACACUGCAGCUCGUUCUCGAGGCGGGUGAGCUCGACGCGGACCGGAUCGGAUCCGUGGAGGAGGUUGAUGAGGUCCUCCAUCUCGAUGGCGGGCUUGAGGCGGGGGCCGGGGCCGGGGCGCGGCUGCUGGUUCUUCUUGCCAUCGCCGUACGGAUCGGCCAUGGCCGGCGCGGCGCAAUGCGGUGCCCGGCGCGGCGAUCUCCGCCACCUGCCCCCUGCUCCGAGGAGGGGGGUGGGGGAGGGAGUGGCGUGGCGUGGCCUGCUCUGCUCCCCCGCCUGGCCUGGCCUGAUCAGAUCAGGGACGGGAACGAAACGAAAUGAUAGGAGCGAGAAAGAAAAGGAACAACCGCUCUGCCUCAGCAGCUGCUGCUCUGCUCUGGGCUCCCCUCCCCUACUUGCUGUUGCUGCGCUUGCCACUGCCAAGGCUGUUGCGACUGUCCCUGGUAAAAAAAAAAAAGCUAUUUAUUUAAGUAUCUAUCAAUUCAGGAAAAAAAAAGUAAAAAUCGGAACCGGAAGGAGAGCGGGACGGGUGGGGCCAGGACGUCAGUUGGACCGACAUCAUGCCUUUCUUCCCGACCCGGCCCGCAACCGCAAGCAAAUUCGCAUCGGCAUCGCAGUGAGGGGAACGGAGGGAGGCCCUAACCCUAACCCUAUCCAUCGCCAUCGCCAUCGCCAUCGCCAUCGCCAUGGCCGCCGGCGGAGAACCCUCCCCGUCGCCGCCCUCACCCGCCAAGCACUCUCGCUCGCCCGACGACGCCGCCCAGCCCGACGCCUCCCCGAAGCGCCGCAAGCGCCACCACCACCGUCGCCACCACCACCACCGACGCCAGCGUCACGACGACUCUCCGCUAGCUGUGGCGCCCGACGACGACGUAGAGGAGGGGGAGAUACUCGAUGACGCCGCCGCCGCCGAUUCCGCAGCCCCACAGGAUUCCCUUGUUCCGGUACAUCUCUCCCCGCCUUCAAACCCCCACCUCUUUGGUUCGACUUUAACUAAUAACUAGCCCUGCAAUAGCACUUCGGUACAGUCUAGUGUAGUGUUUCCUAGUCUCCCGCCUUGCUCAUCAGCAACAUACAGACAUACCGUACAUACAACAACAACAACAUCAAAGUAUUUAGGCUAGAGCUGAAACCCAACAGCAAGCUGGUGCUUAUUUCCACCUAAGAUAAGAUAUCGAAUACCAUCUCUCUUGUUAUGGCGCAGCAGAUAAUUGGGAAAUUGGAGGCUUGGCAGGUCUAAAUUCAAUUUUCGCAACAUAAUUAGUAUUUAUUCCUUGGGUACCCUUUUGCUGUUACUCCUUGCCUACUUACUGUUUGAUGUAUGGCAAAUGCAGGAGCGCUUGGACAAUGGUGCUGAUACACAUUCAAAUGCAGAUGCAAUGAUGCCGCAAGCUUCUGCUCUGCCUACCCUCCCUCCAUCCUCAAAAGAUGGAAGGAAGUCACUUAGCGGUGCCCCUGAGUCUGAAAGCGGGGGUAUCCUAUCAAGUGACGCUGAUGAAAACAAAGGGUAUGAGCAGAGCCAAAGCCUUUCAAAAUCUACAAGGGAGAAGGAAAGGAGGCACAUAGAUGAGCGUCACUCGUUGUCUUAUAAAGAUUAUCAUUCCAAAAAUCACUCCAGAACAUCUCCUUACCCAAGGCAUCACAGUGAAGCUCGUUCAAGAGAUCACUCGAGGUCUACAGAGAAAAGUGAUGGCGCUAAUGGUCCUCGUGCAAGUCUUAGGGAUGGUUUUGAUCAUGACAGCAAUGAUCGGAAUGGCAAGUCUGGCAGACAUGCUACUAGUAGGCAGGAGAAUGAAAGAGAGAGGAGCAGUAGCCGUGUUGUUCAUGAUAGACCUGGUGACAGGCACGGCAGCCGGGAAAGGUAUAGGGAUGAUAGGAUAGAUGGAGACAAAUUUGAUUCACUUGAAGCUACUCGUAGGCUCAGAGAAAGAAGCAGGAGUCGUAGUAGAUCAGAUCUAAGGGAAAGUGCUCGUGUUCGUGAUCAAAGCCGGGAGAGGGAAAGACGGAGUGGUAGUUCAAGGCAUAAAGAUCAUGAGAGGAAUAGGGAUACAAGUAAAGAUCGGCAUAGAGAAUCUGACAGGGUUGACAGUGUACGUGAAAGGGAGAAAUAUGAUAGGGACAGGGAAUGGCAUAGGGUUAAGGGAAGUGAAACUCGUAGAACCAGAGAAGCACGGGACAAAGUUAGUGACAGUGACAGGCACAGGGAUUCAACACACUCAAAAUACAGCACGUCCGAUGGUUACAAAGAGAGGGCUAGAUCCAGGGAGAAAUAUAGAGAUGCCGACCAUAAAAGCCGGAGGUCUGAAGAAAUGAAGGAAAAUUCUUUAAACAAGUAAGGCAAUUUUUACAUGGUUAACUGAUAGCUAAUUGAAUAACCUCCUUUCUCCGUGUGUUUUAGUUUUCUGGAUAUUUACAGUUACUGCUCUCAUCUCAAUAUUAGGGAGGAAGAUGAAGAGGAGUACCAAGAGAAAAUUGAACAGCAGUUAGCUAUGCAGGAAGAAGAUGACCCUGAAAAAAUUAAGGAGGAAGCAAGGAGGAGGAAAGAAGCCAUUAUGGCGAAGUACAGGCAGCAGCAAUUGCAGAAGCAGCAUAUGGAAUCUAAACCAAGUAGCAAUAAUGAAGGUAAGUUUGGUUAGAUAAUGUUGGGUUCACAACAUGUCCAACACCUUUGCUGUGCUAUGUCCUGACCAAUUUAGUUACUGCUGAAAGAUAUACUGUUGCUUGUACAGAAGUAAAAGCAAUGGAUGGAGAUGAAACUACACAUCUGAAAGAUGAUAAUGAUAGCGGCUCUACGGGCAAUGACGAAGCUGAAAAUAAGCAUGAUUCUUUAGAGGUAUUCGUUGGUGAAGCAGACUUCACUGUGGGGAAGUCUCCUGCUCGGAAUGAUACUUUAGUUAGCACGGGAGCAUUCAGUGACGAGAUGACAAUAGGUGUUUCAGGUCUUGGAGAGGGUUCACCCAAGGUAAUUGUUUUCUGCUAUCCUGUUUAAUAACAUAUGAAACCAUAUCAUCCUGAAAACCUAUACUACAUAUUCCAGAGUGAGAGAUCAGCAGACAUGUUCUGUGAUGACAUUUUUGGAGAAUCACCUGCAGGCAUUAGAAAAUCGGUACGAUUCCUAUCCCUUCUGCUAAUUAUAGAAGUUCCAUUCCAUACUAUUCUGAUCCAUAGGUCAUGGGAAGAGAUGCAACUUGAGGUACAUGCUAAUCUUGCAUGUAUUAUUUGCAUGCCAAAAUAAACUGGUUAAGUUUCAUAGACAGAACACUGUUGCCUGUUUGUUUUCUUAAUAUUAAAUAAAAAUGCCUUUCACGAUCUCAAAAUUACUUUAUUGGACAGGGCAAGGAUGAUGGUUUGCAUGUUGAGAGAAAUGCUCUUCAUGACAACUGGGACGAUGCAGAUGGGUACUACAGUAAGUUGUGCUAUCUUCUGGUCAUUUCCCGUGCCAGUUUCUUUGUUUUAUCUGUGGUCAAGCUUUGCUCCUGUGUUGUUGAUUCAUUUAUUUUCUUGUUUCUGUGACUCUGCAGCUUAUCGGUUUGGGGAAUUACUGGAUGGCCGUUAUGAAAUCACAGCAGCACAUGGGAAGGGUGUGUUCUCAACAGUUGUGCGGGCAAAAGAUCUUAAAGCUGGUAAAGAUGAUCCUGAAGAAGUUGCUAUCAAAAUUAUCCGGAACAAUGAUACUAUGUAAGUUAAGCUCCCAAGAGAUAUUUUCCAGAAAGAUUUCUAGUAUUGAAAAUAAAUUAGGACUAUUUAAUUCAAUGUUGGAUUAUUCAGGUACAAGGCUGGCAAGCAAGAGGUUUCGAUACUGGAAAAACUUGCAAGUGCGGACCGUGAGGACAAACGCCACUGCGUGCGGUUUAUUUCUAGUUUCAUGUACCGGAACCAUCUUUGCUUAGUUUUUGAAUCUCUCAAUAUGAAUCUUCGUGAGGUUUUAAAGAAAUUUGGUCGUAAUAUCGGACUUAAACUGACUGCGGUGAGGGCAUAUUCAAAGCAGCUCUUCAUCGCCUUGAAGCACCUGAAGAACUGCAAAGUUUUGCACUGCGAUAUAAAACCGGACAAUAUGCUGGUAUGCCAUCUUGCAACAUCAUCUUUUUAGCUAUUGUAUUAUCGUCAAUUGUCUUUCUUUAAUGAGAAUUAUGCUUGUGAGACAUAAAAACUCAAUUUUUGUUGCUAUGCUGUCAUUUCAUCUUUACAAGCACAUCUUAAUUAUAAACACCCUUUCUAACUGUGUUGGUUGUUUGCAUUUUAGGUGAAUGAGGCUAAGAAUGUGCUCAAGCUAUGUGAUUUUGGCAAUGCUAUGCUUGCUGGCAUGAAUGAGGUUACGCCUUAUCUUGUCAGCCGUUUCUAUCGGGCACCUGAGAUCAGUGAGUUCUUUUGUUAACUUAACCUUAUUUCAGAAUGUUCAUUAGAUACUAUUUCUACUUUCUACUCAUGCGUUCUGUAUACAUGUUCUAUAUCCAAAUGUGUUGUACCUAACUCAUGUUGUUUAUUGCAGUUCUUGGGUUACCAUAUGACCAUCCAUUAGACAUAUGGUCAGUUGGCUGCUGUCUAUAUGAGCUUUACACUGGGAAAGUCUUGUUCCCAGGUCCAUCAAACAAUGCCAUGCUUCGGCUUCAUAUGGAAUUAAAGGGCCCAUUCCCUAAGAAGAUGCUGCGAAAGGUUAGUCCUACAUGCUUGGAUCAUUAUUAACCUUAAAGGAUGAAAUGCUCUUUCUUUUGUGAUAGUACACCUACAAGCUGCAUACACCUUAAAAAAAAUCCAUAAUUAUGUUGAAUUCUGGAGUGAUGAUAAAUACUUAUCUAAUUGAGUGCACAUAUAAACACUACACUAAAUGAAUGUUUAUAACUUUCCAUCACGCAGGGUGCCUUUACGAUGCAACACUUUGAUCAAGAUCUUAAUUUCCAUGCUACUGAGGAGGAUCUUGUGACAAAAACGGUGUGUCUAUGGAACCAUACCCUUUUUGCUAUGCUCUUUUUGUAUUAUUCAAACUCCUUAUUUAUUAUACGUCUGUUUGCAGGCUGUGAGGAGGUUAAUUUUGAACAUUAAACCAAAGGACAUUGGUUCUUUGAUUUCAAACUUUCCCGGCGAGGAUCCAAAAAUGCUAUCCAGUUUUAAAGAUCUUCUUGAUAAAAUAUUUAUCUUAGAUCCAGAAAAGAGGAUAACCGUAUCUCAAGCACUUAGCCAUCCUUUUAUCACUGGCAAGUGAAAUAAGAUGCUGAUUCCUGUUGACAUUGAACUUAGCAUCUACCUUGUAAAAUAGAAUUUGGGUUCCUCUUGUCUAAUCAUCCACGUUUCUGUCUUGUGUCCUGGGAGCUACGAGACCGAGUACGUGGAUGAAGCACGGAACUAUGGAAGAGAUGGCUACCUGCAGACCUUGCUGCAUGCACUUAUCAUUUGGAUAUGUUCUGUUGCUUGUAAGACAACUAGCCAGUCAGCAUUCCAUUUCCUGUAUUAUACUCUUUCCUAUGGAUUUACAAGAUAUACUUGAAAGUCUGCUUCAUUUCAUCUAACAAUUAUGCUGACUUGUGGAUUGCUGACAAGCAAGGUUAUAUGUGUAACACUGUUGCUUAAUGUGUAAGCAAAUCUUUGCACGUGCUUGGAACACUUUUCAUUUGUGUGCCAGCAUGUACUCUUCUGAUGUUUAUGAUUGCAUGCUGGCUAUGCUUGGCUUCAAGCUAUACUAAUCUGGGGGGUGCAGUGCACCAGGUUUUUGUAUUGCUUGAAAAGUUGUUUAUUUCAUGCUAACACAGGCCUUGCGUAAUAUUAAUUUGUUUCUUACAUCUACUUGCGUUUGGAUUUAUAAGAUUCUAAUUUGUUCUUUCAUUCAGGAUUCUGCCAGGGCCUCUGCUGUGUGCGCAUUUUAUAUGCGUAAGGGCCAACAUAAGAAGGUACCCUGGUUGAUAUCUGGGUAACGAGAUGUGUUUGAACCCAUCAAUACAUUGCUUUCUUUUGUUUUAGGUUGAGAGAAUGAUAUCUAUAUUUCAUUAAUGUUGGAUUUUGUCAUUCAUACGUCCUAAUCAAUUGGUCUUUUCAGUAAUAUAAAUUAUCUUAGUCUAUACUUAAUGUUUUGUCUAGCUAUUGCCGAAAUUAUACAUCCUAAUUAUUUUUUCCUCCUGCAUUGAGCACUUUAGAAGCUUAUGCCCACCCACAACUUGUAGAUAAGUAGGGGAUGGCUGGAAAGUAAAUGUAGGUGAAGUACGCAAAUACAAGCACAUGCACCGUUGUGUUUACCUUUUGUUUGCUCCAUCAAAGUAGAGUAAUUCUUUUAUAAUUUAUUCGUUUUACUAAAUUAUUAGUUGGAACAACGCAUUUCUACUUUUUUCCUACUUACCCUCAUAUGGAACAUCGAUUGAGUUUCGGUUUUGCUUUUAUGUUAUUUGAGGUCCUGGGAUGGAGAUCGCUGACCCACUACUCACUUGACAUGGUAAAUCCUUUGAACUCUGGAUGUCUUCCUUUUGUUUUAUUCUUAAAGAGUUCACCUAAUAGUUGGUAGUGUUUUGGUAUACCAUGGAUGGUUCAUUUUUUCAGUUUUGGCAGCCUUUAUUAUUUUGGAUGUGUUUCUAAUAUUUAGAGUGUUUCAUUGAGUUAUUUCUUUUUUCAUUCAUUUUAUGUUUCAUCAAACAUUAAUCUACUCAAUAAUUUUCUACGGUGUGUGUGCACCAAAAUUAUCCACAAUAAUGGGUUGUGAAAUUCAAGUAUAUACCAAUUACUUCACCGUAAAAGCUCUCCUCUAUCAUGCAAUGGAGUUUGAGUUUCAUCAUUUCUGUAAAAAAAAUAUAGGAGCUGAAAACCACUCAGACUACUAGUUUUAGAACCAAGUGUCCAGGUUGCGCUGCAGGAAGUGGCUUAGUGCCCUUUGGUGCCUUGCCCAUACCACACAGCUCUGUGCUCUGCUUCUGUGGUUUCUUAACCCAGGUUGCUGUCCGAGUUGAGUGGUUUGGUCGCUGAAACUUGUGUAUGGCGCAUCUGCUACAUUCUUUCCCCCUAGGGUGUGUGUGGGGAGGAAAAGAGACUUGAGUUGAAAAAGACAGUUUUAACAGACUUGAGUUGAAAAAGACAGUUUUAUUUGCCACAUGUUAAUCAAGAUAAACACUGGUUGCAUUAGCUUAUUUAGUUAUCCGGAGGCUGAAAGUUUACUACAUGAUUGGUAUUCAAGUUUUCUUGAGUUGGAUUCUUUAUAACUCUUUCCUUGUUAGUCAGAAUUGCUGUCCAUAAGUGGCCAUGUGAAUGACAGUAGUUUCUCAUGUUGGAUCUCUGUAGAUACUUGUGUGGGAUGUAGUAGUUUCGUAGUUAUUUUUUUUAUCUGUAGUACUUGCUGGGUAAAUUAGGGAUGACAAUUUUACCCGCGGGCAUGGAUACCGCGGGUUUCCCGACGGGCAAGGGUAUGGGUAUGAAUUUUCACCCGCGGGUAAAAACCCAUACCCUCGCCCGCGGGUAGGACACUGGUAUCCAACCUUACCCGCAGGUACCUAUCGGGCACCCGAAAUACAACUAUUAUUACCUUGUCAUCUCACGUCUUUUAUAAUGUUUAUGUAUUUAUGUAUUAUUCUCAUGUGAUUGUGUUAACUACAAAAACUAAUACGUGAGACUGGAUUUACUUUGAACUAUGAGGACAACAAAAAAUAUUGCAGUGUUUAGUUCUAUUUGCAAUGACUUUGUGUGGGUGGUAGAUUCGAAUUAUACUUGUUUUUAUGAUUAGGAUGAUAUAUUAUUUGUGCUAUCAUGACUAGACCCGAUAGGUACCCUAAACCUGUCGGGUACCCUGUGGGUACGGGCACGGGUACAAAAUCUUACUCGCUAGGUUUCGAGGAUAUGGGUAAGACUUGGGAGUUUCGGGUAUUCUUGCGGGUGGGCAUUUACUCUACUCACACGUUAUCCAAACCGCUGCCAUCCCUAACCGGGUAUGAAAGUACCUAAGAAAUUGCAGCCCAUUGACCUACCCCAUGUCCGUGUGCAGGUCACUAGUUUGUUUGUUAGUCUUUGGCCCAACAGGCCAUUGCACCAUUAUUAAUUGUUUCCUUUUUUGCCUAGUUAUGUCGUUCCUAGUUCAAUCCGAUAUGGCACACUAACUGAUUUGUUCAGUCCCUAGUGGCCAAGCCCCAUGCAAUUGGUUCUUGCAUUAGUUCAAUCCGAUAUGGCACACUAACUGAUUUCGCUCACCUGCUUUUUACACAUAGCCCUUGCGAAGCUGACCAAUUCCUAUUGCAGCUGUACUUUUGGAUGAUUGACUUGUACUCCCUCCAUCCUGAAAUAUAAGGCAUCCAAGGGUUCAAAAUUUGUCCCCAAAUAUAAGGCGUCCUAGGAGUUUUUGGCAAGUACUCAAUCAACUCAAUUAAAAGCUUGCCAAAUAUUUUCCCUGUUAACAGGAAAACUUGCCUUGUAUUACCAUUAGCUAAGGGUAUAUGAGACAUUUGCCCACCUCUUUAAUCUGUCCUAAAAAUCCUAGGAUGCCUUGUAUUUCAGAACGGAGGGAGUACUUGUGUACUAUCUCUUUUAGAUAUUUUUUUUAUUUUUUUUCAUCAACAGAACUGCUCUAGUAAAGUGGGUACUUGCAUGUGGUUGCAUAUUUUUCAUCAAAAUUACUUUGCCUUUUCUCCCUAUUUUUCCCUUUUUCUUUCCUGUCCCCUACCGGUUGCUGCUAUUUUACAGUCUCUUGGGCUGGUAAGAUAUCGCGUCGCCUCAUGCCUUGGUGUCGUGGUGGGCGUGGGUUGCCACACCUCGCCUGCCUUGACGCUCUAAGAACAUUGCAUGAUUGUAUGUGCAUGUCUUCCGUUUAGAAUGUGUUUGGUUAAUAAUGUAAGACUGCCAAGGCAUGCAAAACACUUUUGCCAGCUUGUCUGACUACAAAAGCUUAGUAAUAUAAUAUUUAUGAUGUGUGGUAUUGUUGUUGGAAAGUUUUUCGUUACUAUAUUGUGGAUAGAAAGCAAACUUCUGCCUACCAUAUCACUUAGGGGCACGAAGACACCCAGGGGCUCCGAAUUCUACCUUCUGAUGUUUCAUGAAAUAUUCAGUAACGGAAAACCACAAGCUGACAUAUGGUGGAACAUACGUUAGGACUAUUCUGUAGUAAUUGAGCAGAACAGUUGACAAAAAAAACUAAAGAUGCGGAUGUACUUUCUUUAUUCAGUUCACCUCAGGUGGGCAUAAUCUGAUGUGCAUCUCCCCCCCCCCCCCCCCCCCCCCCGCCAAAAAAAGUGAUAAUAAUUUUGUCCGUUUAUAAGCUAUUAUGUUUAUAGACUCGAAAAGACCUGUAUAACUGCUGUUGUUGUAAUUUUCUUGCCGAAUAGAUAUUAGCAGCAUGCAUAUUUGAAAUAUGUUUAGGUGUUGACGUACUUGGUACUAUGCAAUGCAGUCCUGCAAUGUAAUGACAAGGACCGAGCUAACCAUGGGUGGAGAACAGCCAGUUUAGGUCCCUUUUAGCAGGUCUUCCUCACCGGCUUUACGUGAAGCUGUGCCGACUCGGGGUGUUUGGUUCCUACCCCUAAAGGACUUUAGUACUGUUCCAUCGAAUGUUUAGAUACUAAUUAGGAGUAUUAAAUAUAGACUAUUUAUAAAAUUUAUUGCACAGAUGGAGGCUAAACGGCGAGACGAAUCUAUUAAGCCUAAUUAGGCUUAAUUAGUUCAUGAUUUGAUAAUGUGCUGCUAUAGUAACCAUUUGCUAAUGAUGGAUUAAUUAGGUUUAAUAGAUUUGUCUCGUCGUUUAGUCUCUAUCUGUGCAAUUAGUUUUAUAAUUAACUCAUAUUUAGUCCUUCUAAUUAGCCUCCGAAUAUUUUAUGUGACACGGACUAAAUUUUAACUUAAGGAACCAAACACUCCGGCUCCAUCGCCGGCACGAAGACCCUCAACAUAAGUGCACUAACGGCAUCUGACAGCUCGUAGAGUUUUAAUCGUUAUGAUUGGUUGAUGCAUAAGGUUAUGGGUUAAAUCAUGAAAGUGAUAACAAAGCACGCUGAACUUAAACCUACGUGCCAAUUAUGUGGUACCGUGUGAAAAUAAAAAGGUUCACAAACUGCUUUGGUUGCUCCAUAGCGACUAGGAAGAAAAACUUUUAUGUGCUAUAGCUCAUGGGAUACUGAAAAUAGCCCAACAAGAGAACCAGAACUAAUAUGACAGACAAUCCGAGCAAGUGGAAAAUGUCGCCGGACACCUACUCGUCCAAGGGAACGUCUGAGGUGGAAAACAACCUGACUGGAUAUCCCCGAGAAAACUAGUGGGACUGCCCGAACAAGUGAAAAACACCACUAGACACAUGUUCGGGCAAGGAAAGUAUACUGUAGUUCACGGGAGGUAGAAAAUAGCUUGGCAAGAGAUCUUGGGUUAAAAUAAGAUGCCGUUUGGUUACAGUCUAAAAUGUAACGUAAUUUCAUUUCAGAGGGUAAGUCUUAUCGUUACAAACGUUUGUUUGCAACAGUCUGUAAUCCAUUAACGACUCUUAUCGUUACAAACGUUUGUUUGCAACAGUCUGUAAUCCAUUAACGUGUAAUCAGAUCUACACCCCGAGCUACUACGUGCUCGAUACAGCUCCUCAACCACCGUAAUUAAAAAAUGAUACAGCGGUGGCGCUGUCACAGAUCGUGACUCCAGCGCGGCGGUAUCCUCCAAAUGCUGCCGUGUGCUUGUGCUUGCGCCUCCGGUCCUUUACCUCCUGGCGACCAUGCAUGAUGAGGAAGGAGACAAUGGCGAGUAACUCCGCCAGGAACCCGUACGCCACCCGGCCACCACUGAGGCCCAAGCUAUUCGGUUCGGGAAGGCUCCUUCGGCGGCUGUUUUUGUCGGGUGAGAGCAAGGCUCUCGUUUCGAUCAGAGAAUCAGGAUUCUACUGCCUCUGCGGCUAUCUGAGAUUCAAGCCAGAGCAUGGCGGGCGAGCGUUGGUGAAGAGGCGGCCGGCAUGGCCGUCGUGUUGCUAAUCGGUUUCAGCGAGGAUGUGCCUCGCUGCUGCGUAUCUGGCUUAUGGUUGUGCCGGGAUGCGAUAGCGUUACAUUAGUAAACCAAACAAAGACAGUAAUCAUGCAUCCCACCUCUGAUUACAGUGCAAUCUGAUUCCAUUUCCAUUUACGUUACCACUUGCCGAAUCAAACACUACCUAAGUAGGAUCGCAAGAAAAAAAAUAAAAAAAAACUACCGGUGAUAGAAAUGUGCGCAUAGUUAAGGAGGAUGAAAACAACACGACCCAAAGCCCAUAACAAAAGUGAGCUGGAUGGCUUGAACCCCAUAACAAAAGUGAGAGGGAUGGCUUGAACAGGUGAAAAAAGCCAAAGACACUUAUUCGGUUAAAGGAAACGUGUGCCAUCGCUAGGCCUGCUAAUGGGGGUUAUACUGGCCCCUAACCUGCCCCAACCCACAUCUAAUGGGAGAAUUCUACUAACCCGCCCCAACCAUAAAUAUAUUAUUUCUACCCACCCCACCCCGCCUCACGGUGCGGGUUACCCAUGCAUGCCACAACACCAUUGCGUGCAUAGAUUCGCUACAAACCAUUUUUAUACAGACCCAUCCUUUGUCGGUGUGGGUCCCACAUCUAGAUAAGGUUCCAAUAUUAUCUUCUUCCUCACCGAGUCACCGUUCCAUCCAUUGACUCGCCACAUCCCGCCCCGCCGCUGCGACCGCCGCCCUUCUCUCCCCUUCCCCUCCCCCUCCCCAUCCUCCUUUCUCUAAAUGCCCCCCCCCCCCUCCCGCUGGUUGCUCCCACCGCCUGUGCCCGAUGACAACCUCGCCGCUGACCACACCAUCCACCUCCCGCUCCGCCGCCAACCUCCGCCUUACCGCCCCCCACGACCGUGGCCCCCGCCCCUUCCUUCCUCUUCCUCCUCCCCCUUCCCCCCUUCCCCUCCGACCAGAUCUCGCCGUCGUUGCACCUCGCCAUUGCCAGCCUCCACCACCACCCCAUGGCCAGCGGCAACCUCCAGCAGCAGUUGUCCACCACCGCCCUGCUGGCGGCGCCAUCGCCGCCCACACCCCACCUCCUCCGCCAAGCCGGCUGCCGCCCACGGCCAUCCCUUUAAGGUGCCGGCCAUGGAAGCUCCCUCAAAAACCCCAAAUUCCGAAUUCGAAUCCCUCUACCCACGCUCCUGUCGGUCUCCACCGCCGGCCCAGCGGCAACCCGCCGUUCACCGUUCCGCCCACCACCCGCCGGAGACGAAGGAGAUCAUCGAAGAAGACCUCCAAAAGACCGGUUCCAACCCGCUCCCAACCCGCACUUUCCCUGGACCCAACCCACCCCGACCUGUUAGCCUCUAAUCCCCAUUCCCACCCAUUCUAAUGAACCCCGCAUGAGAACCCACCCCAAAAUACCCAUUUCGCCCUGCCCCACUAGCAGGGCUAGCCAUAGCUCAGAGUAAGCCUGACAAGAGACCCGUGACAAAAAUGAGUGGGAUCGCUCGAAAAGUGAAAAUGCCUUUGCACACAUGUUUGUUAAGGAAACUAUGCUAUGCUAACGGGACGCCAAAAACAAAAAAAAUAGUGGGACUACUUGAACAAGUGAAAAAUGCCACCAGAAAACCGUGUUCGGCAAAGAAAGCGUGUGCUAUGGCUCACGCGGGGCUGAAAUAGCGGGACGAGAGACACGGGAUGAAAAAUGAGUAGGAUCACCCAAACAAGUAAAAAAUAUCAGCAGAUGUGUUCGGUCACAGAAACGUGUGCUAUUGCUUACGGGAGGCAAAAAAUAGUCGACCGAAGACCUAGAAGGAAAAAGAGUAGGAUGACUCGGACAAGUGAAAAAAUGUCACCAAAUGUGCGUUCGGCUUAGUAGAGGUGUGUGGGGUGGGGUGGGGGGUAGCAUGGCCGCACAGGAGGCCAAAACAGCCGGACCAUAGACCUAGGAUGAAAACGAGUGAGGUUACGCGGUCAAAUGAAAAAUUACAAUAAAAAUAUGUUCGGCUAAGAAAAUGUGUGCUAUACCUCACACGAGUCUCGAAACAGCCCAAUCCGAGACACCUGAUGAAUAGGAGUGGGAGGCCUGAACAAGUGAAAAAUGCUAUCAUUUGAUAGUUCACGGGAAUAGAAAACAACUCAAUCAGAAACCUAGGGUGAAAAUGAAUGGGACGUCCCGAUCAAGUGAAAGAUGCCACGGACACGUAUUCGAUAAAAACAGCCUGACAAGACACGCAGGAUGAAAACGAGUAGGACUCCCCAAAAAAGUGAAAUAUUACACCAAAUGAGGCCGAACACAGCCCGACCAGAGGCAUGACAGUACGGAUGAUGGGACGAAAACGGAUGGGAUACCCUGGUAUGUGCUAUAGGUCAUGAUUGAGGUCAGAUAUCAUACGAAAAUUAAAAAUCCACAUACACCUCCAUCAGCUCUGGAGUAGGAAGAAUGAAAAUCAUAUGAUAUAGGUUAUGUUUGAGGCUAGAUAUUGUAUGAAAAUUAAAAUUUCACAAUCAACUCCAGAAGCUCCGGAGGGACUAGGAUGGACGAAAAACAUAUGCUAUAGGUCAUGGUUGAGGCCAGAUAUCCUCUAGAAAUUAAAAAAUUACGGACACCUACAUCAGCUCCGGAUGCAGUAGAAAUGAUGAAAAAUAUAUGCUACAGGUCAUGGUUGAGGCAAGAUAUCGUACGAAAACUAAAAAUCCACAGACACCUCCACCAGCUCCGGAGGGACUAGGACGGACGAAAAACAUGUGCUAUAGCUAAUGGCUGAGGCCGGAUAUCGAACGAAAAUGAAAAAAACACAGAUGCCUCCACCAGCUCCGGAUGUAGUAGGAAGGAUGAAAACCAUAUACUAUAGGUCAUGGUUGAGACCAGAUAUCGCACGAAAAUUAAAAGUUCACAUACACCUGCACCAGCUCUGGAUGGACUAGGAAGGACAGAAAACAUGCGCUAUAGGUCGUGGUUGAGGCUAGAUAUCGUACGAAAAUUAAAAAUCCAUAGACAUCUCCACCGGCUCCGGAUGGACUAGAUGAGAUGAAAAACAUAAAAAUCCAUAGACAUCUCCACCGGCUCCGGAUGGACUAGAUGAGAUGAAAAACAUAUGCUAUAGGUAAUGGUUGAGGUCAGAUACCGUACAAAAAUUACAAAUCCACAUACACCUCCACUGGCUUCGGAGGGACUAGGAAGGAUAAAAACCAUAUGUUAUAGGUCAUGGUUGAGGUCAAAUAUCGUACGAAAAUUAAAAAUCCACGGACACCUCCACCGGCUCCGGAGGGACUAGGACGGAUGAAAAACAUGUGCUAUAGCUCAUGGUUGAGGCUAGAUAUCCUCUGAAAAUUAAAAAACCACGGACACCUGCAUCGGCUCCUCAUGCAGUGAAAUUGGCCUCCGAACGCGUGUUUGGCCAUGAAAACGUGUGUUAUAGGGAACGGGAGCCCGAAAAUAGCGACACCGACCAACGGCGUUGAAAACAUGGGGGAAUGGUUCGAAGACGUGAAAAUAGCCUCCGGACGCGUUUUCGGCUAUGAAAACGUGUGCUAUAGGUCACGGGAGCCCGGAAACGGCCACACCGGCCACCGAGGACGAAAAUGUGGGGCAAAACUAAACAAAUGAAAAUGGCCUUCGGACUUGUGUUCGGCUAUGAAAACGUGUGUUAUAGAUUAUGGGAGCUCGAAAACCGCAACACCGGUCACCGGGGUCGAAAAUGUGGGGGAUGGACCGAAGACGUGAAAAUGGCCUUCGGAUGCGUUUUCGGUCAUGAAAACGUGCGCUAUAGGUUACGGCAGCCCAGAAACGGCCACACUGGCCACCGAGGAUGAAAAUGUAGGGGCGGGACCAAACAAGUGAAAUUGGCCUCCGAACGCGUGUUCGGCCACGAAAACGUGUGUUAUAGGUAACGGGAGCCCGAAAACAACGACACCGGCCAUUGGGGUCGAAAACGUGGGGGGUGGACCGAAGAUGUGAAAAUGGCCUCCGGACGUGUUUUCGGCCAUGAAAACGUGUGUUAUAGGUCAAGGAACCUGAAAACAGCGACACCAGGCACCGGGGUCGAAAACGUGGGGAUGGACCAAAGAUGUGAAAAUGGUCUCCGGACACAUUUUUGGCUAUGAAAACGGUGCUAUAGGUUACGGGAGCCCGAAAACGGUCACACCGGCCACCGAGGACUAAAAUGUAGGGGCUGGAUCGAACAAGUGAAAAUUGCCUCCGAACGCGUGUUCAGUCAUGAAAACGUGUGUUACAGGUCACGGGAGGCUGAAAAUAGCGACACCGGUCACCAAGGUCGAAAACAUGGGGAUGGACCGAAGACGUGACAAUGGCCUCCGAACGUGUUUUCAGCCAUGAAAACAUGUGCUACAGGUCACGAGACCCCAAAAACGGCCACACCGGCCACUGAAAAUGUAAAGGCAGGAUCGAACAAGUGAAAUUGGUCUCUGAACGCGUGUUCGGCCAUGAAAACAUGUGUUAUAUGUAACAGGAGCCCGAAAACACGAUACCGGUCGCCGGGAUCGAAAACAUGGGGGUAUAACCCGAAGACGUGAAUGACCUCCGGACGUGUUUUCAUCCAGGAAAACGUGUGCUACAGGCCGCGGGAGCUCGAGAUAGGAGGAUUGCUGCCUACAUUUACAAGAAGGCUGGCAGAUGGAAGCAGUCCAUUGCUCUAUCAAAGAAAGACAGCAUGUACAAGGAUUGCAUGGAGACAUGCUCGCAGUCUGGUGACCGUGAACUGUCGGAGGACUUACUUGUCUAUUUCAUUGAGCAGGUUUAUUUUAAACCUGUUCUAUUGAUUGAUGAUAUGAGAUGCAGUGAUAUGCCAAUUCAAAAUACAGUAGAAAACCUAUUAUUUGUCUACCUGUCAUUGCACUUCUGAUUAGUUAACUUUGAUCUGCAAUUAUGCAAUGCAGGGGAAGAAAGAAUGCUUUGCUUCUUGCCUCUUCAUUUGCUAUGACUUGAUACGACCAGAUGUUGCCCUUGAGCUUGCAUGGAUGAACAACAUGAUAGACUUUGCUUUCCCGUAUCUGUUGCAGGUACCUUAUUUCUGUCCAUAUCUGCACUGACACUUACUUAUGCACAGUUCAUUUUAUAAUAACAUCCCUGCCGUCCAUGCAGUUCAUUCGCGAAUACAGCAGCAAGGUUGAUGAUUUAGUUAAGGACAAAAUUGAGUCGCAAAAUGAGGAAAGAGCGAAAGAGAAAGAGGAGAAAGAUCUUGUUGCUCAGCAGGUAAAGUAAAAGUGCAUUCGCCUCUUUGUUUCUGUAAUCAGUCACUAGUGCUGAGGCAUUUGGCAUGAUUAGUCGCAUGCUGUUGUGCAGAACAUGUACGCACAGCUGCUUCCUCUCGCUUUGCCCGCUCCGCCGAUGCCAGGCAUGGGCGGUCCUCCACCUCCGAUGGGUGGAAUGGGCAUGCCUCCGAUGGGCCCUGGUCCGAUGCCAGCAUUUGGGAUGCCACCAAUGGGAAGCUACUAGGUUGGUUUUGCAGAGCGAUUAGAUGAUGAUUCGGAUUUUUCCAGUGUAAGCAGAAGUUGAACUAUGGGGUUGUAGAUGAUCACAGUUUGGAAUUAAUAUUCUUUAUGGUACCAGGAAAUUUUGGCGAGUGAAAUCUCUCGUUUGAGAAAUGCUACCUGUUGUUAUAAUAAUCGGGUUCCCUUUGAUCCUGUUACCAUGUUACCUCUGAAGAGUGCCUAUACGACGUUUGUUAUACUAUUACCUCUGAAGAGUAGCUAUGUAUCUUUGAAGUGUGCAGAUGUGACGUUUGUUAUCCUGUUACCUCUAAAGAGUACCUAUGUGACUUUUGUUUUCCUGUCACCAUUUCCAUGACUUUGGACUCCUCUCGGGUGCUAACCAUGGCAUGCGAGAACAAACUCCUGUGCAUACAGUUUAGAGAUUUCGAUUCAGGGCAAACUAACUGUUGGAUUGUAAGCGUGUCACAGCCCAUGGGCCUGCCGUAUCCGGCUCCCCAUGUGGUCUAUAUGUAUACAACUGUUGCUAUUGAGGAAUACAUCGUGCAUUAUACAAUCUAUCAUGGUAUCACGCGAGUCGUUCCUGCGACCUGCUUCCGCUCAACCCUAGCCUCCGCCAGGGCACCCGCUCGCCGGCUCCACCCACCCACGGCCGCCCCGCUGAGCUCCUCGCCGGCCGAUCCCCUCGCCUGCCGCUGAGCUACGCUCGCCAGGCCCCUCUCCUACUCUUCCUGCCGCCGAUCCCCAUCGCCAGGAACCCCAAUGGCCGGUGACGCCGCCGCCGCCGCCGCCGCCGCCGCCACCGAGAAGCAACGGCAAGAGGAGGCGGAGGCCCUCGACAAGGCCCUCACCGCCAAGGAGGCGGCAAACGCCACCCUCCACGCCCAGGCGAUCGCACUCCACAACAUCAAGAGCGCGAUCACCCUGGUGCUGGACCAGUUGUCCAACAACUACGGUCGGUGGCGGCCUCUCUUCUUGAUUGUGCUCGGCAAGUACAAUCUGAAGGAGCACGUCCUCACCGACAUCGCCUACCCCGAUCGCUCGGCAUGGGCGACCAUGGACAGCUGCGUCCUCACCUGGAUCAUCUGCACCGUCUCCAACGAUCUGCAACAGUCCCUGCUGCUCCGUGAUCCCACUGCCCGAUCUGCCUGGCUGUACCUCGAAGACGAGUUCCUCGGCCAGCGCGAAUCGCGUGCACUGCUGCUGGAGGCUGAGUUCCGUUCCUUCCGGCAAGGCGAUCUCUCAGUGAUCGAUUAUUGCCGUCGCCUUGAAACAAUGGCGGCAUCCCUCAAGGAGUUCGGUGAUCCGAUCGGCGACAGGCAGCUUGUCCUCACCCUACUGCGCGGCGUCAAUGGGAAGUACCGACACAUGGUGUCCAACCUGAAGAUGCGCGCACCCUUCCCCACGUUCGCCGAAGCACGCACCCUGCUGCUCCUCGAAGAGAUCGACGUCAACGACAUCCACGACGAUGUCACUCCCGCGCCGCCGUCGGAGACUCAGGCGCUGCUCGCGGCAAAACCACAGCCGCCACGCACUGGUUCUGGUGGUUUCGGUGUCCAGGGCAGUGGGACGGGCAACUCCAACAACUCCCGCAACCGCCGCUGGGGACGCGGCGGCAACGGCGGGACCAACAACGGCAAGGCGGGCGCCGGCCAGGGCGCCCCCAACGGCGCCGUGCAGGGCGCUGGACAGCCUACUGUUCGGCCAGGACAGAACCCCUGGUCCGGCACUCUCCAGCUCUGGCCACACGGCUUCGACGGCCUUCCUGGACAGCAGCUGCAGCGCCCACCAUACAUGCCGUUCGAGCAACCCCAGCCGGCCCUCCACAUGGCACCGUACCACGGAGGGUACUACCAGCUCCCACCACCGCCCCCUGGCUUCAGCUAUGGCCCGGUGGCAGGCUCCUCGGCUUCCUCUUCGGCCGGCGCGAUGCCGCAGUACGCGGCAUGGAACCCCAUGGCAGGUGGCUCCUUCGACCAAGCGUCCCUCGUCAACAACUUCAACACAAUGACCUUGACGCCGCCGUCGACACCCACCGAGUGGUAUGCUGACUCUGGUGCCGGUUCUCAUAUGACCGCCCACUCUGGUAUUCUCUCGUCUCCUCGCUCACCCUCCUGGUCCAAUCCUUCCUCUAUUAUUGUCGGUAAUGGUGCUCUCCUGCCCAUCACCUCCACUGGCUCAUACUCGUUUUCUACACCACAACGCCCUCUUGUUCUAAAUAAUGUCUUAGUGUCCCCUAGCAUUAUUAAGAACUUGAUCUCUGCUCGUCGGUUUACCAUUGAUAACAAUUGCUCUAUCGAGUUUGACCCAUUUGGCCUCUCUGUGAAGGAUCUACAAACACGGAGCGUGAUCGCCAGGUGCAAUAGCACGGGGGAUCUAUACCCAUUCUUCCCGUCCACCAGCAGCAAAACACCAGUCUUCGCAGCCACCUCUACACCCACCCUGUGGCAUCGUCGUCUCGGCCACCUUGGUUCAGAAGCAUUGUCCAAACUUAUUAGCACCCAGGCUAUUUCUUGUAAUAAACCCAAACAUGAACAUAUAUGUCAUGCUUGCCAAUUAGGGCGCCAUGUUCGCCUCCCUUUCAGUUUAUCUAGCUCUUGUGCUACUCAUAAAUUCGAUUUAAUACAUUGUGACCUUUGGACCUCUCCUAUUGCUAGCGUGUCUGGUUACAAAUAUUAUCUCGUAAUUAUUGAUGAUUUUUCUCACUAUGCUUGGACAUUUCCGCUUCGCCUCAAAUCCGAUACAUUUGCCACUAUCUCUAAUUUCUUUGCCUAUGUUCGUACACAGUUUGGCACCAUCGUGAAGGCCGUCCAGUGCGACAACGGUCGUGAGUUUGACAACUCUUCGGCCCGCACGUUCUUCCUCUCCCAUGGUGUCCUCUUUCGUAUGUCGUGCCCCUACACCUCCCAGCAGAAUGGUAAAGCCGAGCGCGCCCUUCGCACCAUUAACAACAUUGUGCGCUCACUUUUAUUUCAGGCUAGUCUUCCACCCGUCUACUGGGCUGACUCCCUCCACACUGCCACAUAUCUUCUAAACCGUCACCCCACUAAGACUCUUGAUGGCCUGACACCAUUCUAUGCUCUCUACGGCACACAUCCCACUUAUUCACAUCUUCGUGUUUUUGGGUGUGCUUGUUAUCCCAAUUUAUCAUCCACCGCACCACAUAAGUUGGCCCCUCGUUCAUCACUUUGUGUCUUCCUUGGCUACUCAUCCGACCACAAGGGAUAUCGCUGCCUCGACUUACACUCCAACCGAAUUAUCAUCUCUCGGCAUGUAGUGUUCGAUGAAUCCAUGUUUCCCUUUUCAGCGAUGUCUACCUCUCCUUCGGAUCCAGCCACUCUUGACUUCUUGAGCGAGGAUGACUUUUCCACUAUGCCCAUCGGGCCUCGUUCUGUGGUUGCAGGUACCCCCCCUCGUGCGCCAACCCCCCCUGGCUCACCACCACCAGCCAGUGCGCCGCCCGCUGUUGAGCAUGGCUCCAGCCCGGGCGGCUUGCUGGCGCCCGCUGGAGCAGCCUCGGCAGCAGGUGGAGGAGCCACGGCUGCCACUGGCACGUUGCCACCUGCCCAGGCACCUACGGCAGCAUCACCUGGAGGUGGCUCGGCUGUAGCUAGCCCGCCACCGGCUGCACCAGCGCCUUCAACUACGAAAGCGACACCCUCUGCUGCCCCUGCUGACACCUCGUCGCAGGUAGCUGUCAGUAGAGGGGGCCGCACGGCUUCUACCCUGCCCCAACUCAUCGAGCCCGUGGUUAAUGAUCACGGCAUGAGGACUCGGGGCAAGUCUGGUUUCUGCCAGCCAGUUGAUCGUCUGAACCUGCACACGACGACGCUCUCGGCCGUUCCCAAGAGCUUUCGUUCCGCGCUCGCCGACCCUCACUGGAGAGCCGCGAUGCAAGCAGAGUUCGACGCCCUCCUGGCAAAUAACACAUGGACCCUUGUGCCUCGUCCCUCUGGAGUGAACAUCGUCACCGGUAAAUGGAUUUUUCGUCAUAAAUUUUUAGCUGACGGUUCUCUUGAUCGAUACAAGGCAAGAUGGGUUCUCAGAGGCUUCACUCAACGACCUGGUAUUGACUACGAGGAGACUUUCAGUCCCGUUGUCAAACCGGCUACCAUCCGCGUUGUGCUCACACUUGCUCUAUCGCGUUCUUGGCCCAUUCAUCAGCUGGACGUCAAGAAUGCAUUCCUCCAUGGGACUUUGACAGAGACUGUGUAUUGCCAGCAGCCACCCGGGUUUGUUGAUUCUUCCAAGCCCGAUUUUGUUUGCCGAUUGAACAAGUCAUUAUAUGGAUUGAAGCAGGCUCCCCGAGCAUGGCAUAGUCGCUUUGCCAGUCACAUCACCUCCCUUGGGUUUGUUGAGUCCAAAGCGGACACCUCCCUCUUCAUAUAUCGGCGGGGUGCUGACACAGCCUUCUUGCUUCUCUAUGUGGAUGAUAUUGUUCUUACUGCUUCGUCACAGAGUUUCCUUCAGCGCAUCAUCGCAGCUAUGCAACGGGAAUUCUCUAUGACUGACAUGGGUGCUCUCCACCAUUUUCUGGGUGUCUCUGUUGAUCGCCGCUCAGAUGAGUUGUUCCUCUCUCAGAAGCAAUACAUGCUGGAUAUUCUGGACCGUGCUGGUAUGCGUGACUGCAAGCCUUGCAGUACACCUGUUGAUACUCAUGCAAAGCUACCUGCUGAUGGUGUUCCUGUGGCUGAUUCUUCACAUUAUCGCAGUAUCGCUGGUGCCCUUCAGUAUCUCACAUUCACCCGUCCUGAUAUUGCCUAUGCUGUUCAGCAAGUUUGUCUAUAUAUGCAUGAUCCGAGAGAGCCUCAUCUCGCUGCCAUGAAGCGCAUCCUGCGCUAUAUCCAGGGAACUUUGGAGCUUGGAUUUCACCUACAUCGUACCUCGCCUACUGAUCUCACUGUGUACUCCGACGCCGAUUGGGCUGGUUGCCCUGAGACUCGCCGAUCCACUUCUGGCUAUGGCGUUUUCUUGGGUGAUAAUUUGGUCUCAUGGUCCUCCAAGCGUCAGGGAACUGUGUCCAGAUCUAGUGCAGAGGCUGAGUAUCGCGCUGUUGCCAAUGGGGUUGCAGAGGCAUGUUGGCUACGCCAGCUUCUUCUUGAACUCCAUUGCCCUCUUCGACGAGCUACAGUUGUGUAUUGUGACAAUAUCAGUGCCGUUUAUUUAUCCACCAACCCCGUUCAGCAUCAGCGGACCAAACAUGUGGAGAUUGACCUACACUUUGUUCGUGACCGCGUGGCCCUUGGAGAAGUUCGAGUUCUACAUGUCCCUACUACCUCACAGUAUGCCGACAUCUUCACCAAAGGGCUCCCGACGUCCGUCUUUGUUGAGUUUAGGUCCAGUCUUAAUGUUCGCGGUGCUCCCAGUUCCGACUGCGGGGGAGUGUUGGAUUGUAAGCGUGUCACAGCCCAUGGGCCUGCCGUAUCCGGCUCCCCAUGUGGUCUAUAUGUAUACAACUGUUGCUAUUGAGGAAUACAUCGUGCAUUAUACAAUCUAUCACUAACUGAAGAAGCAUCUGGUUGCUUCCAUGAUGUUUUGACAUAUACUGCUAUGAUUAAAGCAUAUAGCUACGAUGGUAAGAUUCUCUUAUGAUCAGGAAAUGUUUCAAUAAUUUUAAGUUUCAACUAAUCAUGUGUCUAUAUGGAUCGUAAAAAUUCGCAGCCAAACGGGGGUCCAUCACCGCCCCGUCUUGCUGCCGUCUCGACCGCCACUUCCUUGCCAUCCCGGAGCUUCUUCUAGGUUCGCCGGAUACAGGUAACCUGAACCCUCGAAACCCCAAACCCUAAAAAGUUCGCCGGAGGUGGAGAAGAAGGGGAAAAGGUGGAAGAGAAAAAAUUCGAAUGUGGGAGAGAUGAUUUUGACUCGAGUGUAGUAUAGCAAUACGAAAAAAAUAUUGACAAGUGAGCAAUAUUUUAUUGUGUCUUCAACGUAGCAUAGAUGUAUGUCAAAAUACCGUAUGACAUGCGUACGAUGGUCGCUCUUAUGUCUCCAAAUUACCAAAUGGUUAACCGAAGAAAAGUCUGUGAAAAAACCCUAAACAUUCUAUUCCAUCUUCAUUCUAUUCCCUCCCCUCCUCUCCCCCUCCCCGGCGGCGACGAAAGAGCGCGCGCCCUUUCCUUCCCGUCUCCCCGGCCCUUUCGCCGCCCCCCAUCGAGUGCCGUCCGCGCCUAGUUCCGCCGGCGCGGAACGCGCCGCCUGCUCGCCCCACCGCGAAGGGGUUCGUCUCGUCCUACUCCUCGGCGCUCGUGAACGGGCGCGGGGAGGGGAUCCGUCCGGGCUUGGAUCGGCUUCUUCCCCACCUGGUAAGGAAACCCUAGCCACCUUGCUUGGUUGCUUGGGCGGACUGCGCGCGCCCUGUUCCGCAGGAUCUUCCCUGUGCUGCGCGACCCGUGAGGGAUCAAUCCGAGAGUUUUCCUGCUCCAGUUCGCACAAUUCGUUGCGAAUUCCUUUUCUGCGAGGAGGGGGUACGGUUAGAAGCUGUCAAAGUUUGCGAAUAAGUUGAAUUUUGCUUUGGGGGUUCAGUUCGAUCCCCACGGCUACACGUGCCAGCCCCAUGUUUGGGAGGAGGUCGGGUCUAAAGCUGCCUGCUUUUUCUCUGCCGUGCUGGAGGUUACAAAUUUAUCUGAUAGACUUGCUCUAUGGGCUCGGAUGUUACUAGUAGUUAGGUGCAUUUUAGGAAGGCUGAAAGGAUAAAGUUAUACUUCACUGCAAAAUAUGCACCAAUAAAUUCUAGUUCUUCAGUGUAGCGUGCACAAUUGUCCAUACCUGUUGAUCUGUUUUGUAGAAAAUUACUUAUUAAUUCAUCCACCUGGCAUCCACCCAUUCAUUGGUUGAUUAAAACUAUUGUUUCACACCCAUGUUUGGGAGGAGGUUGGGCAAAGCUGCGGGCUUGUUCACAAAUUGUUCUUGUGCUGCAGCAUUAUCUGAUAUCUAUGGACUUGCUCUGUGGAUUAACUGGAUCCCAUGUAUUUUUGGAUCAUUUAUUCAUUUGUAAAGCCAUAUUUGUGGUGUUUACAUUAGUACAUAGCCAACACAGCUUACGCUGAGCAAUAUCCUUGCCUUACAUGCUCCAGAUGCAUGCAUCAACUUUGCCGCUCGCGACCCCGACCAGAUCGGUCUUCGACCUUCCCCUCAUCCGCUGUUUCGUUCUACUUUUUUUCCCUCUUGAAAGACCCCUCUGCGUUACUAGCUGAUCGAGGAACGGUAGAUUUUUGCCUGCCUAGACCUGCUAGUGGGUGGCCUCAUGGAUCAAACCUGUGAUUUGGUGGCUGCUGAUGGGAUUUUUGUAUUUGUUAUAGCAAUUCCCGGGGUUUGAUUUCCUCGGCUCCUGUUUACUCGGUGGAAAUGAUUUGUGAAACUUGCUCCUAUAUGUUUCUCGGUGAAAACACAUACGGAUCUUGUGCUGGAUAGAUUUUUUAUUCGUGGCUUCUUUCCAUUGCAGGAUGAGUGAAGAGGAUAAGACUGCUGCUGCUGCUGCUGAGCAGCCGAAGCGAGCCCCUAAGCUCAAUGAAAGGAUCCUCUCUUCUCUGUCCAGGAGAUCAGUAGCUGCUCAUCCAUGGCAUGAUCUUGAGAUCGGUGCGCGGCUUAACUAUCCUUUUCAAGCGUUCCUAGCGCCUUGAUCAAGCAAGCAUAUGCUAAAUGAAUUUGGUUAUGCAGGUCCUGGGGCUCCUGCUGUCUUCAAUGUUGUAAGUAUCAUCAUUGCCUUCUGAACGUUUCACAAGUUAUUAAAUGCUUGAAGCUAUAAUGAUAUUUUUGUAUCGCUUUCCGACCACUCAAGUCUCGCUCGCCUCAUCUUUGUAUCAUGUCUAAAUCAGACUGAAAUGGUUGGCAACCACAAUCUGCAUGCAGCCGUCGUACUCCGUUAUUUACAUUGAGUUUACCAAAGCUGUCACCGAAUAAAGCCACUGUACCGUUAGUGUUGACGAUUGUUUUAGUUAAUUCUAUCGUGUAAAAGUCAGUUUCCGCUCUUGAUUGUCCUGUUAGCCUGUUAGUGCAUUUAAUUCUGUCAUGCAAAAGGCGGAUUCAGAUCGCAAUUUUGCCAUAAUAUUGACCAUUUAGUUUAAUCAAUUUUGUCGUGCAAAAGGUGGGUUUAACUUGUGAUUUCGCCGUAAUGUUGAACAGUUAGUAUAAUUAAUUCUGUCAUGGAGAAGGCAGGUUUGACUCACGAUUUUUCCCUUAGUGCUGAAUAGUUAUUAUAACAAUUAUUUCUGUCACAUAGAAAUAAUUAAUUCUAUGGCAAUUUUUCCAUUACUGUCGAAUGAUUAGUAUAAUUAAUUCUGUUGUGUAAGGCCCUGUUUGGAGUCGCUUUUCUGGAACUCGCUUAUCUGGCAAGCAAGCUUAUCUGAUAAGCCGCUGCCUGGAGAAUCUGCUGUCUGAAUAAGUAGGGUGUUUGGCAAUUCUGAUUAUUUUGUGUCGAUUGUCUGUCCUGGUUGGUAAAUUGACCUGAAUGCCCCUAAGGCUGAUAAUAGCUCAUUUUUAUUGUGAAUCUGAGUAGAAGACAAUAAUUCUAAUGCUUUUGGAGUUUGUUAAAUAGAAAUUACAUCACAAUAAUAUGAAAUUCAUACGAUAGAUCGGAAUAGUAUGGAAACAUCCAUCAUGGGUACAACAACGAAUCAUGAAACCAUAGCGACAGCAAUAGCAUCACGCAAUGCACCCAUAUCAAUGUCAUCUCCUAAAGCACCACCACCACCAUCUGUGCUAGGUUGGGUUGAAUUACCAUCAUCUUCCUGAAAAUCCUCUUCAAAAUGCACGUCAUGUACGGCACUAUCUCUGAUGAAAUUGUGAAGGGCCAUACAAGCAACUAUAAUUUUCGACUGCUUGUUAACCGGAUAACUGGGCAAAUUCAAGAGAAUGCGCCACUUCAUCUUUAGAACUCCAAAUGAUCGCUCAAUCACAUUUCUAAGGGAUGAAUGUGCAUGAUUAAACACUUCUUUCAAUCCUACCGGAUGCUGACCAUGCUGCCAUUCGGAAACAUGAUACCUCUGUCCCUUGUAGGGUGCAAGAAAUCCUUUUCUAUUAGGAUAUCCAGAGUCAACAAGAUAGUACUUACCUGCAUGUUAUAUUUACAUGUUAUAUCACAAUGACCAAAUAUUCCCUGAAAAAAAAAUUGCAACAUAACUCGUCCUUACCAUCGGGAGGAUGUGGAAAUUGAUCCUUGUAUGUGACAAGCGUGUCCAAUAAUACACGAGUAUCAUGGACAGAACCAGGCCAACCAGUGACAGCAAAUGUGAACCGCAUAUCAAAGUCACAAACCGCCACGACGUUUUGUGAAGGAUACCCAUGCCGACCAAUGUAUUUCGGUUGAUCAGCUAAUGGCACAGUUACGGGUAUAUGGGUACCAUCAAUUGCUCCUAUGCAAUCUUUGAAAUGAGGCCAAAACCUUGCUUCUUGUAGUUUAGGAUGAAUAGUAGAAAAUUGCGGAUCCUUAGGCCUCACAAUGUCAACAAUGUCAACAGCUAAUCUCAUGAUAGAUUCAAGAACCUCUUCAAAUUUUCUACUCACAGUUUCUAAUGAGCGAUGGAAAUUAUUCUUGCAUUGCCUAAAAGAUUGAGGUGCACCACAAGCCCAUAGAAACAUUCCUAGUGCUUCCUUGCUACAAAAUUGUCUACUUGAUCUCAAUCCAUAAUCUUGCACCAAAGUGUCAUGAAGGCUUAAGAAAACUGACCUCCUCAUUCUGAACAUGUUAAAGCACUCCACUGGAUCUUGUAGUUGUAACUCAACCCACUGUAUUCCAGUCAUACUUGCUAUCGUAGUAGUAAUCUUCUUCUUGUUCAUACCAGAUGAUGCCAUGUAGUCCAGACCAAGCAUUGCCACUAUGUAAUCAUCAUCAGUGUCGUCAGAUUCAUCAACAUCCAUAGUAUGAACAGAAUCACUGUUGCCUUCACAUUCACUAGUUGCACUAGAGGUACUCAUCAAAACAAAUGCAAGCCUGUCAAAAAGCACUAACCAAGUCAUCAGAUGAAUUUUUAUUGUUACAACACAACUAAUAGAAGGUUCAUAGUCUCACACAGCAUACUUAGAAAAUUGAAAUUAUGUCUCACACAACAUAAGACAAAUGAAAGAUAAAUGGCACACUAAUGCAACACCCUAGUGCUUCUUCCUUAUCUCCCAAGCCCUCCUCAGCCAAUUCAACCUCCCAUUUGGUGUCUUCAAUGUAAUGAACACAUCACGGUUCUCCUUUUUUUGAAGAAGUUGUGUGGCAUAGAAGUGUUCAUCACUCCCCUCCUCAGCCCCAUCCUUAAUGACUUGCUCCAACAUAUUUCCAAUCUCAUCUCUAACGUGAUCAACAACCGCCGAAGUAGCUGAAUGUUUACUACUUUGAGCUUUCAACUCAUAUGCAUCGACCAACCGCUUCAUGCACUGGUCUCUAAAAGUCUUCUUCUUCUUUCCUUUAGGGGAACUAGGAGCUGGCCUUUUUGAAGCCCUCCGCUCAGAACUGGAUGGGGCCUUAUGUGCCUCUCUAUCAUUGUUGCCCUCAACAUCAACAACAUCAUGUUCAUCAACAUCAACGUUUCCAUCACCACUUGGAACAUAUGAAGUUUCAUUUGUAACAAUGACCGAUUCAAACAUGAUUCGCAUCUGAUCCUCAUAUUCAAGCGGAGCUGUUCUGAAUCGGAUACAACCUGGCAUAGCCUGUAAAAUAUCAUCAAAACAGCAUGCUAUUAUACUCCAAUUCAAAAAAAUUAAACAACGUGUAUAUGAACUAUAUCUUUAGUAUGAUUGUUAGUGGGCUCACCUUAUUUUGUUCUUCCCACCAUUCAUCGUCAGCCACAAUACAACCAGUAACAGGAUCUCUUCCCAAUCCGGUUGAUCUCAAGUUCAAAGUUUUCCAUUGGGUAUACAUUUUUUUCAAUAUAUCCCACCUAUUCUUCAUUUGACUCUCACCGUAUGGCCUCUUGGUACGCUCAUAAAACUUUCUAAUAAGGUUUGCAUAUCCCACCGCAUUCAAACAUUGCUGCGGUCGAUUGAAAGCAAGUACUUCUUCCACACAAAUGUCAUUGAAAGCUUUCGCGGCAAAUGAAUCCCAUUUUGCCACAAUCUUUGACGACUUUUCCAUCUAAAAUUUGAUUACAGUAUUGUAGAAUUAAAUACAAAUCUACGAGCUUGUUCACUGAUCAUACAAACCACAAUCUGUCAUUUUAGCAAUCCAUCAAGAAGUGACACAAAUUUUACCUUGCUAUUUGUUGGCGGCCUUGCAGUCAUAACAGCUACAGCUGUCCAGAUCCUUCGCAGCAACUGCACGCAUACAUAAAAUUGUUAUGAGCUACUCCAUCAUCAUAUAGGUCCAAAGAGACUCCAAUGCAAAAUGAAAAAAGAAAGUCAUAUGUGAUAUAAAAUGUGUUGAAAACUGAAUCGUCAAAGAAAGUCAUAUGUGGUGUAUUGGAUGGAUUGUGCUAUAUGGGUGGUCGAGUAUUUGACUACGGUGUUGUUGUGCCUAGUGCCAUUUGGAGGAGUCCUUUUAUGGAGCCAUGUGGUUGUUGCCUCAAAUUCUUCUACUUUUACCAGCCAACCAUGUGCUGCGUGUAAAAAAAAAAGUAAACGCAUCAUGUGUUGGUGCACUCUCUAUUGGAGAAUUAAACUAAUAAAGAACAUAUAGAUCAUUCUUGAUGCCAUAGAGAAUCACAUUGGCAUUCGGUUGCUGGAGUGGCUAAAAAAAAUUAAUUGAUUCCAUAUGCAGGUGAUGAGAUGCAUAUUUUUUUGCAAAUGUCAUAUGUGCGCAGAGAAUUCAUGCUCUAGGCACGAUGUUUCACCAAAAGAAGCUAUUAUCUUAGUACUGGAAAUCUUAGCCUUUUUUCAAGCACCAGAGGUGUUGUAUAUCAUUAUCGACGGGGACAGCAAUUACAGAACAGAAAGAGUUUCAGAAUAAAACUCAAGAACUCAGCCUCUCAACAUAUAAUAAUUCGACGAAAUACAGCCUAAUGGUUCACAUCAACACAACUCAACAGGUGUUCUUCCAAUACAAAAACGAAUGUAGUUGCUAACAAUGAACACAUGAAAAUAAAAUCUGAGCUGAAAAAUCAAACGGAAUUUCAGACCACAAACUGAGGCAUCCAAAGCUACUCCUUCAGCGCUGGUUAAAAAGCCUGUUGGACUGGGGAACCAGAAACUUACUUCAGGGGGUGUCCGGCGGCGGGGCGGCGGCCAGGGGGCGGCCAGGC